UUUGCUAUUACUGUGGACGCGAGGAAAGAACUACUAAAAGAUCAACAUCUCAACGAUGAUAAAACUUCUAUUGAGGAAAAUGGGCCAAAAUCUAUUUUAAACCGUCUCAACGAUGAGAAGUUCGAUCCCAAACGUCCCGAGUUGUUUGGUUAUCAUUACGACGACGAUGAUAAAAAAGACAAGGCAUCAUCAUUUGAGAAGUUCGAUUCCAAACGUCCUGAGUUUUUUGGUUAUCAUUACGACGACAAUGAUAAAAAAGACAAGUCAACGUCAUUUGAGAAGUUCGAUCCCAAACGUCCUGAGUUCCUUCACUAUGGUUACAACGAUGAUGAUAAAAAAGACAAGUCAACGUCAUUUGAGAAGUUCGAUCCCAAACGUCCUGAGUUCCUUCACUAUGGUUACAACGAUGAUGAUAAAAAAGACAAGUCAACGUCAUUUGAGAAGUUCGAUCCUAAACGUCCUGAGUUCUUUCACUAUGGUUACAAUGAUGAUGAUAAAAAAGACAAGUCAACGUCAUUUGAGAAGUUCGAUCCUAAACGUCCUGAGUUCUUUCACUAUGGUUACAAUGAUGAUGAUAAAAAAGACAAGUCAACGUCAUUUGAGAAGUUCGAUCCUAAACGUCCUGAGUUCCUUCACUAUGGUUACAACGAUGAUGAUAAACAAGACAAGUCAACAUCAUUUGAGAAGUUCGAUCCUAAACGUCCUGAGUUCCUUCACUAUAGUUACAACGACGAUGAUAAAAAAGAUAAGUCAACGUCAUUUGAGAAGUUCGAUCCUAAACGUCCUGAGUUCCUUCACUAUGGUUACAACGAUGAUGAUAACACUGACAAAUUAUCAUCUGUUCAAAAUUUUGAGCGUUGGGUUCCUCUUCCAUCAUUUCAUUAUACUUACAGCGACGAUGAUAACACAGAGAAAUCAUCGUCAUUUGAGAAAUUUGAUCCCAAACAUAAGAACUUGCUUCACUAUCACUACAACGACAACAAAGAAAAAUCAUCACCGCUCGAGCAUAAUAAGCCGUCGUCUCUUAUUGAAGAGAUCCCAGGCGGCAACAAUGAUCAUAAGGAGACCAUGUAAAUUAGGCAUCCAGAGGAGCAUAUGGGUUUUAAUGAAAUUGUAUAAUGUUUUAUGUAUUUAAACGUUAUGUCCUCUAUGUAUGGGAGUGCUUACUUAUUAAAGAAAAAUAAAAAUGGCGUCGCCAUAUAUGAUAAUUGAAUAAAAGUAACACUUCAUUUCCUUCCUCUUUUCUCAAGCAAUUUAGUUUUCUUUAUCUAUUGUCUUUGUUCGUAGCUAAACACACAAGGUUGCCAAUUUAGUCGGAUUAUGAUAAAAUAUAUGUAUUAUUAUAUAUAUUUAACUUUAAAAAUAAUAAUUAACGAUAUGUGUAAAGGAGAACAUCAAAAUCCUAGCAACUUUCUCUCUCUUUUUUUUUUCCAUUGCAAUCGUUUUCUUCUUUCUCCAUCAAAAGCCAAGAAUCAAGCAUGUAGGUUUAUAUAUAUAUAUAUAUAAACCUGUAACUUACAUUAUUUUAAUGACAUUGUAGAUUUAUACAUUGAAUAGUAUUACUGAUUUAUUUAGUAGAAUCAAUAGUGUAAUUUUCCUUUGAAUUCUAGAAUAUAAAUAUAUUUUUCUUUUUCCUAGUAAGUGCAUUCUUGUGCUUAUAAUUUUUUUUAGCAUUAAAUAUUUUGUUUUUUAAAAGCCUAUAAAUCCUGAUCUCAAAACAGGUAAUUUUUCGUGUUAAUAUCAUAUUUUUUAAUGAAAAAUCCUUACCAUUUAUCAAAUCUCAUGUAAUUAUUGCCUUUUGGUUUGUGGUUGUGGUUUAUAUGUAAUUUCUUAAGUACUUUGGAUAUGUUCGGACAAAAUUUGUUGUUUUGAUAGCUAUUUAUUAUUUGAAUAAUAUUUAAUGGUCAGUUGUUUUAGUAGUUUUUCAUAAAAUGAUAAAAGUUAAACGUUACAUGAGUUAACUUUUUAAAUAUUAAAUUAUAUAACGAGAUUGAAUUAUUUGAAAGUACAUGAAAUAUACAUAAUAUAAAUGGUUCAAGUAAAACUUUAAUUACAAGUAAAUUAGAAUCUCAAAAUUUAUAAAUUAAAUAAUAAAAAUAAUUAUUUUAUAUAGAUAUAUAUUUCUUUUAAUUAAGAAACUUGAAAAAAUAUAUUAAGUACAAAUUAUAAAUUCAAAUUUAUAAAUUAGAGGUUAUAAAUUCAUGAUAUAUGAACCUUUAUAUUACAUAGUUGUAAACCAAACAAAUUUUAUUCAAAAGCUAUAUAAGUAUAGAAUAUGUUUAUUUUUGAACAAAGUAAAACAGAAUUUAUAAUGAAAAUAAGAUUGAUCAAAUUUAAAUUUAAAGAUUAAUUAGUUUUAAAAUAAUUAUUUUAUAUAUAUGGACCAGUGUAAUUUAAUAUUUUAAAAAUUAAAUAAAUAUUUUUAUGACCAAAUAUAUAAUGUGGAUUAUUUAAAAAAAUAAAUGAAUUUAAAAUAAUUAAGACUAGCUAAACUACAAAUUAGAAGUCACAAGAUACGAUAUAUAUAAUUUAAUAUAUAUAAUUCGAUAUUAUAAAAGGGGAGAAAUUUAUAAGUCUAGCAUUUAUAUAUAUAUAAUAUAAUUUCAAUUGCAUAGGUACAUAAUAAAUUUUUUAACACUAAGAUAAUAAAAUUUUAUAGUUAUUUAUUCAAAGUUUAAAUAAUUUAUUUUGAUUAAAUAUAUUUGAAAUAUUGGAUAAUUAUUUAUCUGUGAAUUUUUUUUAUGUUUGUGUUGAAAAUAGUUUUUUUUUUUAAUUUACACAAUUAAAUAGUUUUUUAUUUUUAAUAAUAUUAAAUAAAUAUUAAAUAAAAAAUAAAUAUUAAAUAAAUAUUAAAUUUUUAAUAAUAAAUAAUAGUUUUUUUGAUAACCAAUUCUAUAGAUAACAAAUCAUUUGCUAAAAGCUCCGCCGAUCAGACCAUCUCACAUCACCGACAACGCCUCUACAGGGGCUUCAUCCACACUAUCAUCAUCACUUAUAGUUAUCAUCCUUUGAAUCAAUAAUGUAAUUUUCCUUUGAGUUCUAGAAUAUAAAUAUAUUUUUCUUUUUCCCAGUAAGUGCAUUCUUGUGCUUAUAAUUUUUUUUAGCAUUAAAUAUUUAGUUUUUUAAAAGCCUAUAAAUCCUGAUAUCGAAAAAGGUAAUUUUUCGUGUUAAUAUCAUAUUUUUUUAAUGAAAAAUCCUUACCAUCGAUCAAAUCUCAUGUAAUUGUUGUCUUUUGGUUUGUGGUUGUGGUUUAUAUGUAAUUUUUUAAGUACUUUGGAUGUGUUCGUCAAGAUUAGUUGUUUUAGCAGCUGUUAACUGUUUGAAUGACAUUUAAUGUUUAGUUGUUUUAGUAGCUUUUCAUAAAAUAGUAAAAGUUAAACUUUAUAUGAGUUAACUUUUUAUAAAUUGCUGGCUUAAUCUCUAUAAGUUAGUUCAAAAGUUAUAUUACCGAACACUAUAAAAAAAUACGUUUAACAUUUUGACCAAUCAAAAUAUUAAAAGCUACUUAAAAAACUAUUACCGAACACGACCUUUGACUUGUAGUUUUUUUGCAAGUGGUUGCUAAGCCUCAACUUGUUGUUACUGAAUUAAGAAUUUAUGUCAAGAGUUUAUUAGAAAUAUGUAGGACUUAUGAAUAUAAUAUUCCUUUAAAUUUUCACUAUUUUGACUUUUUUUAACCUGUUUCAAAGUUACUAGUUAAAUGAUGAUUGUUUAAAUAAAAUUUUAUUUAAAUAUUAUGAUUAAUAAAAUAAUUAACUGUGCCAAUCAGAUAUAAUUUUAUUAAUUUUUUUCAUUUAUAUGAAGAGUGAGAGAUCUAGAGUUCGAGUCCUCUUGAUCACAAAGUUUUCACCAAUUUAGUGAAUUAAAGAGAACUUUAUUCAUAUUGUGUAGCGCAUGGUAUUAUUUAAGCCAUUUUGGCCUUCUACUGGAUAAAAAAAAUUCACUGUAAGCAGCAAAAACUGUAAAUAAUUGCUUAUACCCAUUUCGACUACUCAUCCAACUACCCAUUUACCAACUAUCAGAAUCACAUGGUUGGUAGCCUAUUAUUGAUAACCAAAUAACUAUAUAUCCAUCUGCCACUGUCAAUCAUCACAAAUAACUAAACCAGAAUGAUUUUUAAAUGAUUAUCCAUGGUGUGUCUCCCUAAAGACAAGAAAAGGAAAAGGAAAACAUUGGACCACACCUAUGUAAGGAUGAAGGAAGGGUGUGAGGAGUGUCUCAAGUUCCUUUAACCAUAAUUUUCUUUUAUAUUUAUCUUCUAAAAUAUUGAAGAUUUUUAAUUUUGCUCCUUAAAUUUCAAGUUUUUUGCCGUACCGGCCCCAUUAUUACACGUGUAAAAUCUAAUUAUACUUUAUAUUUAGAUAAACUAUAGUUUUGGCCUUAAACUUUUCGAGUUGUUCCAAUUUCACUCUAAAUUAACUUUUAUUUUGCUGAAUUUUGCAUAUGUUAUUUAAUUGUAUCCAUAGUUUUAAAAUUGGACUUAAUUGAAAGAGACUAAAGAAAAAAUAUGAGAUCCACAUAUUUUCUGUGGGUUAAGGUAAUCCAAUAUUGUUUAACUAGCGAAAAAUGCAUUACUCUGUAUAAGGAUAAGACUUGCUCACACUCAAUAUGUAUGGGUGGUUCUAUAGACGAAACCAAUAAAAAAGAUUGUUUUUAAAAACUCUUACGCUCUAUCCUUUUUGUUUGUAUGAUAAAAAAUGCUUUCAUUUGAAACAAAUCACUUUUUGUGAUUAGUUUGUAAAUGAGUGAGUUCAUUCACUGACAUUGAGUGCAGGUAAGUCUUUCCUUUGUAUAAAGGGAAGAAAAAAAAGACAAAACAAACUUCAAAAUCAUUUAGAUUAUGUGGUAUGCUUCUAUAUUAAAGUGAAUUAUUAUUCAAAUAUGUGAAAAGUGAGAAGUCUGGAGUUCUAAUCCACUCGAUCAUAAAAACUUUCACUAACUUGGAGAAUUAAGGAAAGAAUUACUCUUAUUGUGUAGCCUAUUAAAUUAUUUUUGGCUCGUCUAAUUACUUCAUUAUGGUUACAAUUUGAAAACUUCGGAGGCAAGACCAAAUCCAUCUAAGUGGCCCUAAUUUCUUUCUUUCCUAUUCAAUUAUAAGAAUGUCUUUCAACUUUUAUAUUCACCCUACAAUAUCUUCUUCCCGCACGAGGAUAAAGAACAAAAGGAUAGUGUGAAAUACGUUGAAUUUUUAGAAUCUAAUGGGGUCUUCCCUAAAAAAAUGAUUUUAGAUUCCAUGGCACGCUGAGUGAAUUAUUAUUGGAAACACGAAGUUGUCAAGAUUCCGUGGCUUUGUUUUGCUGUUUUUGUUUUUUCUAAAUAAAUUAGAAUAUUAAUUUAUUUUUACAUGAAAUAAUAAAAACAAAAUGAUUGAAUAUAAAUUAACAAAUAGAGUAAAAGCCUUAACACCUAUAAAAUAAUAAUUGAGGAAAAUUAAUAAAAUUUAGUAAAAAACCGAUCAUAAUUGAAAUUUUGAUAUUUUAGUUGUGUUAGGCAACAGUUUUUUUGAGUAGCUUUUAACAUUUCGACUGGUUAUAACACUAAAUACUAUUUUGUAUAAUCUGAUUUCUGUAAUGACAUUAGCGCCAUUAAUAAACUAAUUGUUUCUUUUGUUACCUAUGGAUUUUAAUAUUGGAACUUUAUAGUAUGUUGCUACUUUACGAGAACAAUUGGAACAACUGGCUGAAGAGAGAACUCUAGAUGGCUUACCUAGGUAUGCGUGCUUUCUUUUAUAUCUUCUCUUAAAUUUGUUUUGAAUUGUAAUUGAACUUUGAAAAACUUUAAUCAAAUUUUCAUGGAUAACCAAUAUUGGAACUUUUUGUAAAUGUCCUUUUCAAGGAAAAUUGACUUGUUAAUAAUACAUCUAAGUUCUUUGAUUGUGAGCCAGAUUUCUCUUCCCCUUUGCAUUUGAGUUGGCCUUUUCUGUUCGGUAGCCAUUAUCAAUCCAAUAAAUCAAAUGUGGCUGGAGUUGUAUUUUAUGUAACAAUCUCUAAGAUUUAAAUGCAGUGCUACUUUUAACUUCUCUUUGAAUACAUUUCAACAGAGUUUCAAAGGCUAAGGUCAAUGAUUAUUCAGAAAAGAUUGAAGCCAUUGCUUCCAGAUUAGCUGCCCCAUUGGUGCGUUGCAUUGGAUACUUUUAAAUUAUUAAUGUGAUUGUGAACUUUAGCAACACUUCUAAAAUUAGUUGCACUAGCAGAUAUUUGAACAUAGUUCGAAGAGUAAGUUUUCUUCUUUUCAUUUCCUCCCUCAAGGGACUAAAAACUGUUGAAAUGCCAUUGCCAUUAUAAUGUGGUAGAGCUUCAAUAACUGUGAUGUAAACAGACUGAAGAUACGGGGUUAUGUUUCUGUAGAAGAAAACAUAAGAGCAAAUCUUGACCGAUUUCACUUUUGUUGAAAAGACUGUACAUAGGAUUUUGAUAUUACUGUCCACAAAUUAAUUCUUUUUUUUUUUAAUUAUCUCUUGAAUGAACUGUUCUUCUUCCCUCUCAGCUAAUAUGUUGACUUCAUGGAUUGCAAUACAUUCUCCUUGGUUUAAUUGCUUUUGUUGCCUGUUCUACUUCUUCUAACUGUUCCCCCCUUUGGUUACAGUGACUAAGCGUACUGAUUACAACUUAAAAGCAUACUAUAUGUUGUUUGUGUCAUCUAACCAUGCAUGCAAUCUAUGAUGUUGCCUCAAUUUGUUUGUCCUAUUAAUUGUCAGUAUUGGCAGUGGUUGAUGUUGUAACAUCUAACCAUUUUUUAUGCGGCUAAUUCUCAGCCUCAGAUUCGGUAUCUGAAGAGCCUUUUGCUGAGAGUUCAAUGAGCGAAAGUCCUAAAGCAGAUGGAGAAACUCAGUUCCCUUCUUCUCCUGGCUUGAGAAGAAGACUUGUGUAAUGAAUCUCUAGUUGUUAGGAUUUAUGUGAUUCAUGCAAUUUCCCUUUUGGUGUUCAUUUCUUUUUCCUCCUUCUGUUUCUAUAUUUAUUUCAUUAUGAUUUUUGUUGUUCUUUGAACAGGGCAGCCCCAAAUUUUGAUGAUAGAACUCAUGAAAUCACUCAGGUUGAUACAUCAGCCCCUGUCAAACUGGAUGCUGCAGCAAAAACACACAUUGAAAAGCACAGGUACUUUUACUGUUUGAUUGGGGUACACCCAAUCAUGAUGUGAUAAUUUCAAAGAUUACAUAGUAAUCCACUCUUAGAUCUGUAAUCUAAGUUUUUCAAGUAAAAAUGUUGCAUUUAAUUCUACAUAAAACCCAGUGGAGUUCCACAUAAACUCAUACAGCCAUUGUUUGCUAAAGAUGCAUUGACUACAGACCAAGGAUGGUCCUCUUGAGGGCAUUGGGUGAUUAUUCAUGAUUCUAUUUGUAGAGGUGUGCAUCAGUGGAUUCGGUUUGACCGAAUUAACCAGUAAUCAAAAUAGGGGAAACUAAACCAAAUUGAAUUACAUAUAUGAAUCAAACAUUUUGGUUCAGUUUGGUUGGCUCCAUACUGAAUCCUUUUGUUCUUGUGUGUGUGUGUGUGUGUGUGUGUGUUGUUUGGUUUUUUUGGUUAAAAUGAUCAUCUGAAGACCGAAACAUGGUUAACAUGUUCAUCUGAUGACUGAAACAUGGUUAACAUGGUUGGCUCCAUACCAUGGUCAUCUGAUGACCGAACCAAAUAAGAGGCCCAAAUCUUUGCUAAUCGAAUCAAACCACAUAUUUCGGUUUGGUUAGUUGGUUAUUACCAACUAAUGCACACCCUUACUCCCCUAGCUAUUUUGGCAUUUCAAUGGGAUAAUGUGUACACCAUAAGCAAGAUAGUAGUGGAAUUUUGGUGUAACAUGGUGCCCUGCUUGGCAUCAGCCUAGUAUUGUUCAGAGAGCGGGACAGAACAAGUAUUUGAGCAAGAGGGGAACUGGGAUUGGAGUGGAAGGUAAGUCAGACACCAAAUUGAUCUUUAAUAUUUAUUAUGUUUCUUUCCCUACCGAGACGAAAGCCAAAGGUGAGUCUCGUAGGUGGACGUAUUGAACCGAAAAAAGAUCUCACUCCCCUGUCUCAACUCGCUUUCCAGGGAUAAGGUGAAAAUGAAAGGUUCAUUGCAAAUUGGAGUUUAUUGCAACAGGAUUUACAUAAAUAACAAUGCUUCAAUACAUUUAAAGUUUCUUAGUCCUCCUUCUUGACUGUUGCUUAUAGUACUAUAUUUAUAACGGUACAAUGUAGUUUCCUGAAAGUAAUAUGAUUAAUGAGUAAAAUUUUCAUGAUAUAGGCAGAGAUAUUCAAAAACAUAAUUUGUUCUGCAUAUUUUCUUGCUCCAAGUUCCAAAGAUUGAAUCUAGGACUACCUAGUUGCUUCAAAGAUCAUCAACUUCUGAUUAAACUUUUGUAUCCUAUUGCAGAAAGCUUCAAGAAGACCUGACAGAUGAAAUGGUUGGGUUGGCACAACAACUAAAAGAGAGUAGUCUCUUGAUGAGCCAGUCCUUGCAAAAUACUGAAAAGGUAAUGAUUUUUGGAACCAAAUGUAUUACCUUCUGAGGAGAUGUGCAAUUGUAGCUUUGGUGAGUGAUUCUGCAUGUUCUGGGGAGGCAGCAUUAGAGGAUCGCGUAAUCCAUUAUUCUUUGUGUACAAGUUAGCUAAUGAGUAUCUCUAACAUGGUAAUGAUUUAGAAACUACUAGGAUUGUGAAGAAGUGUCAUUUUCCUUCUGCCAUUAAUUGAUUGAUGUGAAGCGUCUGAGUUCUAUCUUAAAAUUGCUCAGAUUUGUAAAUGCUGUGAAGGAGAGGUUGGGAGUGGCAAUCAGAGAGAUAUCUAUAGCAGCAUUUUUCUGAAUUUAAUCUGUGGGAAUUGAUGUUCUAUUGAGGUCUUGUAUUUUGACAUACUAAUCACUCUAUUAAGCGAUGAAAGUUGCUAGGAUAUGAAAUUCUUCUUGAUUAAUGAUGAAUUGAAGAACAACUACUGAACCAUUUCUGUACUCAUGCAGUAAUCGAUAAGCUGCUAAUUGUGUUAAUUGACUUGGAAUGGGCCCUUAAGGAAUUAACAAGUACAGAUCUAUAAAAUUGUAAAAGCCAUAAGAGGACAGGCUUUUAUAAGAAAAAUCUACCCUGUAAUUUUUUUUUCCCUACCAAUGAUUGGAUGGUGGACUCACCGACAAAUGAGGUAAGGGAAAUUGAGAAGCAACUUUCUACUUCAACCUUUUUUCUUCUUGAUAUGGUAAACAACUUGCCUUGAGCUCAUAAUUUGUUUGUAUUUUUCAAUUUUCUUUGAAAUAAUGGCAGUAGCAACUAAAACUUCUAGUUGAUGAGUGUAUGCAUCAUGAAUUUCUACAUUACCACUUAUCAUGUGGAAAUUCAGAUUUCUGUUCAUUUACGUAUUAUAGAUACUUGAAUUUAAUACUUAUCAAAAUGUGAUUGCAAAGAUCAUGUAUAUCGAUCUGGGACUAUUUUUUAAACUGAUGCUCUUCUUGUACAUGUCAGAAAGUUUUUGCAUUCAAUGGCUGUAAAAAAAGAAAUACAUAAAUUUAUUAGAUGAAGCUAAAACAACAUAUAUGCAAGUUUUUAUUUCUAGUCUCAAAACCUAAAUGUUUGUUUUGGUGCAGAUACUCGAUUCUACAGAGAACGCUAUUGAGCAAAGCUUGGCAGGCACUGGCCGUGCCAAUGUCCGAGCCUUGGAGAUAUACUCGAAAAGUUCUAAAACUACAUGCUUCACUUGGCUUCUGAUUUUUCUAAUGACAUGUGUCUUCAUCAUGGUUGUACUCCUAAUUCGCGUCACUUAGAAGUUUCUUCAAGGUAAGCAAGUUUCGACAUGGUAAUGCUGCUGUCUUGCAAUGCGAGUCAAGUGUUUAACCAUUUGUUCAAAAUCAACUGGUUUUUUAUGAAAGUGGUGCCUAAUGAUUUAAUUUUUCUACCAGAAAUCAUUUUGUGACGAUACGGAGAUUAAUGACAAAUAAUAUGUAAUAUUUUCUUAUUCUGUGUUGUUUGAGGUUAUGUUGGGAUUUAUAUUUUAAUCGACGGACAACUGAUUCUGAAAUAAGUUUAACACUCAUAUUAUGAUUGUAUUUUUUUUUCUUUUUUCUUUUUUAAUAUAAUGUCUUUUAUUUUAUUUUGAAUUAAAAUAAAUAACUAGAAAACAUUACUAAACAAAAAUUAAUUAAUUAUUUUUAUUUAUAUACCAUAUUAAAAAAAAUGAUAGAUUCAUCUGAGAAAAUAAAAAGAAUAAUUUAGCUACCAACAACAAGAAUUUACUCUAGGGUGCUUGUUUUUUAAGAGAGGACCCAUAAGGAUAUUAAAGUGUAAAUAAUUAAAAUAUCAAUAAAAGUGGCAAAGUAUUUACUCUAGGGUCCUUGUUUUUUAAGGUAAUCAGUGGUAUUAUUAUUCUUGAAAAAAAAUAAAAAAAUAAAAACCUGGUAUUAUUAAAUGUAUAUUAUUGAAAAGAAAAAUAAAAACUUUUAUCAAUAAUGAGAAAAUUAUCUACCAAUGUAUGAGGAGUGGCACUCACCAACCCCAAUUCCUACCUACUCAUCCAUAGAAUUGGUAUUAUUGUUACUCUUAUCAUGCCCAAUCAUCCAUGCAAAAUUAUUACUUUUACACAUGCAUAAAUGCAAGAUUUUAUAAUUUAAAAAAAUGUUGAUCACUCAAUAUUUUUUUAUUAAUCAAAAGGCUCAAUUGAUCGAAUAACAUAAUGAUUAAGGGAUAAUUUUUCCAUUGACUUAUCGAAUUAUUAAAAACUAGUGCGAUCGGAAAAAUUCAAACUUAACAAUCAUAUUUUUUAUAUUAGUAAAAAGAUCAACCAAAUAAUAUAUGGUUAGCCUAAAGAGGUUUUUUUUUUUUUUUUUUUUUUUGCCCCUUUUAAAGAUAUUGGGCAGAAAAUAAUAAUCAGCGGAGAUUAUAGCAUUAUUUCAUGUAAUUAAUUAAUAUAGUAUAUAAAUAAAUAAAUAAAUAUUAAUUAAAUGUUUAUAAUAAUAUUUACUAGUUAUUUAUUGUUUUUAGAUAAUUAUAUAUGAUAAUGAUAACAUAAAAAUAGUAAUUGGAAAAUAAAAUUAUUAAUGAUUUAUUAUUGAGGUGAAUAUAGCCCUGGGGAAUUGAUUAAAAAAAAAAAGGAGUUGAAAAAGUAGUUAAUGAAGAUUUAACACAUAUAAAUUAAACGUAGAAUAAAUUUGCAUGAAACAAAUAAGCUAAAUAUCCCUCUAAUAAGGAAUUGAUAGCUGAUAAAGCUUACAUAAGUUUCAAUUUACUAUUGAUCUCAUCAACUGAAUUUAGGGCUUUUUCUUAUCAAUGUAUUAUAUUUUGACUAUAUUAAUUUUAUAAAAAAAUAUAUUAAUAAAUUAUUUUUUGAAAUUAAUAUUUUAGGAUAAUCUUAUUUAUAAAAAUUUUAAAUUAAAAUAAAUAAGUAGAAAAUAUUACUACACAAAAAUUAAAUAAUUAUUUUUAUUUAUAAACUAUCAUAAACAACUAUCAUAAACAAUUAAAUAAUUAAAUAAUGAUUACUAUUAUCAACUAUCAUAAACAACUAAAUCAACCAUUUUAUUUUUCAAAUAAUCGAUUUUUAAAUAAAAACAUGAAUAUGUAUAGUUGUGAGAUCUAUUUAGAUUCAAAUGAGUUUAAAAUUUAAAAAAAAAAAUUCAAAUGAUGAAUUAGCCUAAAUUAAAAUUUUUUUAAUGCAUUUAGAGCAAUAAAAAAUUAUAGAGUAUAUAUAUAUAUAUAUAUAUAUAUAUAUAUAUAUACAUGCGCACGCGCAUAAUUUUGAAAAGAGGCAUGACCAAAUCCAUCUAGGUGGCCUUAAUAUUUUUUUUCUAUUCAAUUAUAAGAAUAUCUCUCAAUUUUUAUAUUUAUCCUACACAUAUCUUAUCCUACACGAAAAAAAAAACGAGGAUAAUGUAAGAUAUGAAUUAUAAGAAUGUCACUCAACUUUUAUAUUGACCCAACACAUAUCUUGGUUCAUGUGGAGGGAAAAAAAAGAUAAUAUAAGAUAAGUAAAGAAUUAUUAGAAUCUAAUAGGGUCUUUUCUGAUAUUAAAAUAAAUAAAAAAACUUUGUGGGACGCUCCUAUAUUAAAGUGAAUUAUUAUUGGAAAUUCAAGAGAAAUUUAAUUAUUUGCACUGAUGGCUUUGAUUUUUUUUUUUUUCUUAACAAAAUUAACAAUUCUAUUCCAUGUAAUUCAACAAUACAUAUGAAAAAUACUUGUAAUGUUAAUAAUUGUACAUUAAAAUCAGUUGCACAUUGUUAAGCUUUAACUCAUAUUAUAAUUAUUGAAAUUAUUGAGAGAGAGAAAAUAGGAAAAAAAAGAUUGAUUAAUUUAUAUUAUAAAAUAAAAAUACUAUGAACUUUGCAUAUGGUUGGAAUUGCAUUUUAUUUUAAAUUUUAACUAUAAGGUGCAAUUAAUUAUUUUAGAGUAUAAUAACAUUUUGAAUUUUACGUAUUGUUGCAAUUACACCUUAUUUUUUCCCUAAAUUUUAAUUACAAAGCGUCAGUAAUUUCAAAAUGCUGUUACAUGAUAAUUGUUAAAAGGGUUAAAUAUUUUCGGUUCCCUAAAUUAUGGCCAAAAUAACACCUAGGAUCCUCAACGUUUGAGUAAUUAUCUUGAAUGACCUAAAUAAUGUUGUCGUUAUACUACGAGGCCCUGCCAUCCAAAUUCUUACCUUUUUCCAUUUACAUGGAUUGAAAAGCAAACAUUAAGUGGGGAGUUAAAUGUUUUGGGGUCCCUAAAUUAUGACCAAAUCAACACUUAAGUCCCUCUACGUUCGAGUAAUUAUUCGUUUUUCAGUUCAUAUAAACGCAAAAAAAGUAGAAAUUUAGAUGGAAAUUCCAUUCGACGUGCCUAUCUAAGAUUUUUCCUCUUUGUGCUUUUUCUCAUAUUUGCGGAUGCGCUUUACACCCUUUGUAGCUAAGAAUUUUUCGUAUUUUGUAAUAAACAAGAAAUAACAAAAAAAAAAAAAAAAAAUGAGUUGAGAAAUUUUCUUUUUACAAAAAUGCCCUUAUAUUGCUAAAGGUUUCUUUGACAUUGUGUGGCUAUAUAUAGCAGGCACUUCACCAUUAAAAAACCAAACAUUUCUUCUCCCCUUUACAACUAAAGAGAACCAUGAAGAGCUUCUCUAUUUUCUUUGUUCUUCUCCCUCUUCUCUUGGUGAGUGAACCAUUUCUUCAUACAUUAUUCUACUUAGCACCAACCCUAAAAUUCGAUUGAAAUUAAUGGCAAAGCUAUAUGUUGCAGUCUUUUUUUUUUUUUUUUUUUUUUAUUAAAGAAAUUAAUGCAGAUAUUAUUUUUUAUUAAUUAAAUGGCUAGCUUUGUUCCUAAUAUUAUUUAUACUUUCAGCGGAACUACAUAUAAUUUUUAGUGUGACAUUUUUUUCUCUCUAAUUUUUUCGUCUUAUUUCAAGAACAUGCUUUUUUUGAUUCUUUUAGUAGUUUGGCAAUAUAUAUGGACUCAAGCUCUAAUCUUUGUUCUUUUUUUCUUUAAUAGUUUGGUAUUACUGUGGACGCGAGGAAAGAACUACUAAAAGAUCAACAUCUCAACGAUGAUAAAACUUCUAUCGAGGAAAAUGGGCCAAAAUCUAUUUUAAACCAUCUCAACGAUGAGAAGUUCGAUCCCAAACGUCCCGAGUUGUUUGGUUAUCAUUACGACGACGAUGAUAAAAAAGACAAGGCAUCAUCAUUUGAGAAGUUCGAUUCCAAACGUCCUGAGUUUUUUGGUUAUCAUUACGACGACAAUGAUAAAAAAGACAAGUCAACGUCAUUUGAGAAGUUCGAUCCUAAACGUCCUGAGUUCCUUCACUAUGGUUACAACGAUGAUGAUAACACUGACAAAUUAUCAUCUGUUCAAAAUUUUGAGCGUUGGGUUCCUCUUCCAUCAUUUCAUUAUACUUACAGCGACGAUGAUAACACAGAGAAAUCAUCGUCAUUUGAGAAAUUUGAUCCCAAACAUAAGAACUUGCUUCACUAUCACUACAACGACAACAAAGAAAAAUCAUCACCGCUCGAGCAUAAUAAGCCGUCGUCUCUCUCUGAUGAGAUCUCAGGUGGCAACAAUGAUCAUAAGGAGACCAUGUAAAUUAGGCCUCCAGAGGAGCAUAUGGGUUUUAAUGAAAUUGUAUAAUGUUCUAUGUAUUUAAACGUUAUGUCCUCUAUGUAUGGGAGUGCUUACUUAUUAAAGAAAAAUAAAAAUGGCGUCGCCAUAUAUGAUAAUUGAAUAAAAGUAACACUUCAUUUCCUUCCUCUUUUCUCAAGCAAUUUAGUUUUCUUUAUCUAUUGUCUUUGUUCGUAGCUAAACACACAAGGUUGCCAAUUUAGUCGGAUUAUGAUAAAAUAUAUGUAUUAUUAUUUGAUGAGAAAUUUUUACUUAAUAUUUAAUAUUUAAUUUUAUAUAUAUAUAUAUAUAUAUAUAUAUAUGGUUUGAGAAUAUUAACUUAAAAUUUUGUUUUCAAGAAAAAUAUAUUUAACUUUAAAAUAAUAGUUAACGAUAUAUGUAAAGGAGAACAUCAAAAUCCUAGCAACUUUCUCUCUUUUUUUUUUUUUUUUUUCCAUUGCAAUCGUUUUCUUCUUUCUCCAUCAAAAGCCAAGAAUCAAGCAUGUAGGUUUAUAUAUAUAUAUAUAUAAACCUGUAACUUACAUUAUUUUAAUGACAUUGUAGAUUUAUACAUUGAAUAGUAUUACUGAUUUAUUUAGUAGAAUCAAUAGUGUAAUUUUCCUUUGAAUUCUAGAAUAUAAAUAUAUUUUUCUUUUUCCUAGUAAGUGCAUUCUUGUGCUUAUAAUUUUUUUUAGCAUUAAAUAUUUUGUUUUUUAAAAGCCUAUAAAUCCUGAUAUCGAAAAAGGUAAUUUUUCGUGUUAAUAUCAUAUUUUUUAAUGAAAAAUCCUUAACAUUUAUCAAAUCUCAUGUAAUUAUUGUCUUUUGGUUUGUGGUUGUGGUUUAUAUGUAAUUUCUUACCUACUUUGGAUAUGUUCGGGCAAAAUUUGUUUUUUUGAUAGCUAUUUAUUGUUUGAAUAAUAAUUAAUGGUCAGUUGUUUUAGUAGUUUUUCAUAAAAUGAUAAAAGUUAAACGUUACAUGAGUUAACUUUUUAUAGACUGCUGGUUUAACCUUUAUAAGCUAGUUUAAAAGUUAUAUUAUCGAGCACUAUAAAAAAUACGUUUAGCACCUUAACCAGUCAAAAUAGUAAACACUACUUAAAAAAUUGUUACCUAACACAAUCUUUGUUUGUGGUUUUUUUGCAAGUUGUUGCUAAGCCUCAACUUCUUGUUAUUGAAUUAAGAAUUUAUGUCCAAGAGUUUAUUAGAAACAUGUAGGACAUAAGAAUAUAAUAUUACUUUAAAUUUUCACUAUUUUGAUUUUUUGUAACCUGUUUCAAAGUACUAAUUAUAUAUAUGAUGACUGUUUAAAUAAAAUUUUAUCUAAAUUUCAUGAUUAAUAGAGUAAUUAACUGUUCCAAUCAGGUAUGAUUUUAUUAGUCUUUUUCACUUAUAUGAGGAGUGAGAGAUCUCAAGUUCGAGUCCUCUUGAUCACAGAGUUUUCAUCAAUUUAGCGAGUCAAAGAGAAUUUUACCCAUAUUGUAUAGUGCAUAUUAUUAUUGAAGCCGUUUCAGCCUCCUAACGGAUCAAAAAGAAAUCCACUAUAACUAACAAAAACUGCAAAUAAUUGCUUAUACCCAUUUCAACUACUCAUUCAACUACACAUUUACCAACUAUCAGAAUCUCAUGGUGGGUAGCUUAUUAUUGAUAACCAAAUAACUAUAUAUAUCCAUCUAUCAACUGCCACUGUCAAUCAUCACAAUAACUAAACCAAAAUGAUUUCUAAAUGAUUAUCCGUGGUGUGUCUCCCCAAAUGAUUAUCCAUGGUGUGUCUCCCCGAAGAGAAGAAAAGGAAAAGGCAAACACUGUUUCACACCUAUGAGAGGAUGGAGGAAGGGUGUGAGGAGUGUCUCAAUUUCCCUUAAUCAUAAUUUUCUUUUAUAUUUAUCUUCUAAAAUAUUGAAAAUUUUCAAUUUUGCUCCCCAAAUUUUGAUUUUUUUUUUCGUACUAGCUCCAUCAUUACACAAUGUAAAUUCUAAUUAUACUUUAUAUUUGGAUAGACUAUAUUUUUCACCUUAAAUUUUCAAAUUGUUCCAAUUUCACUCUAAAAUGACUUUUAUUUUCUAUUUGAAUUUUGCAUAUGUUAUUUAAUUAUACCCAUAAUUUUAAAAUUGGACUUAAUUGAAAAAGACUAAAGAAAAAAUGUGAUAUCCAUAUAUUUUCUGUGGGUUAAGGUAAUCCAAUAUUGUUUAACUAGCAAAAAAUACAUUACUUUGUACAAGGAUAAGACUUGCUUAUACCUAAUGCAUGAGUGGUUCCGUACACCAAGCCAAUCAAAAAAGAUUUUUUAAAAAAACUGUUACUAUUCUAUCCUUUUUGUUUGUAUGAUCAAAAAUACAUUCGUUUGAAAUAAAUCACUUUUUUGUGAUUAGUUUGUGAUUAGGUGAGUCUUUCCUUUGUAUAAAGGGAAAAAAAAAAUAAAAAAAAAAAGACAAAACCAACUACAAAAUCAUUCAGGUUCUGUGGUAUGCUCCUAUAUUAAAGUGAAUUAUUAUGAUCAACUAGAUGAGAAGUCUCAAGUUUUAAUCCACUCGAUAAUAAAAACUACUCUGGUUAUAUAGCCCAUUAAAUUAUUUUGGCUCGUCUAAUUAUUUCGUUAUGGUUACAAUUUGAAAACUUCGGAGGCAAGACCAAAUCCAUCUAAGUGGCCCUAAUUUCUUUCUUUCCUAUUCAAUUAUAAGAAUGUCUUUCAACUUUUAUAUUCACCCUACAAUAUCUUCUUCCCGUACGAGGACAAAGAACAUAAGGAUAGUGUGAAAUACGUUGAAUUUUUAGAAUCUAAUGGGGUCUUCCCUAAAAAAAAUGAUUUUAGAUUCCAUGGCACGCUGAGUGAAUUAUUAUUGGAAACAUGAAGUUUUCAAGAUUCCGUGGCUUUGUUUUGCUAUUUUUUUUUAAAUAAAUUGGAAUGUUAAUUUACUUUUACAUGAAAGAAUAAAAACAAAAUGACUGAAUAUAAAUUAACAAAGAGAGUAAAAGCCUUAACACCUAUAAAAUAAUAAUUGAGGAAAAUUAAUAAAAUUUAGUAAAAAACCGAUCAUAAUUGAAAUUUUAAUAUUUUAAUUGUGUUCAGCAACAGUUUUUUGAGUAGUUUUUAAUAUUUUGACUGGUUAUAACGCUAAAUACUUUUUUUAUAGUGUUUAGUACAUGUUAAGGUAGUGUUUUAUAAAAAGUCAACUAAUAUAUCUGUUUAGCUUUUAGCUUUUCAUAAAAGCUACUCGAACAGUUAACAAGUAAAUGCUACUAAAAUAACUAAGAACUAUAAAAACAGCUUUUGGCUUUUUUCAUUUAAAUUAUGCAGUCUACUCAGCUUUCCGGUGACUCAAUAGCCGGAAAAUUGAUCAUAGGGAUUUUUCUGUUACUCUUAUGAUAUUUGAGGGAUUUAAGUGAUAAAUUGAAGUUGAUCAUAGGGAUUUUUCUGUUACUCUUAUGAUAUUCGAGGGAUUUAAGUGAUAAAUUGAAGUUUUAGAUAGGGUAAAGUGAUAAGACUAUAACUUGAAGGACACCUGGUGAAAAUAAGCCUUAAUUUAUGCUAAGACAAAACUACCCUUACUUAAAAAACAAAUACAUUUCGUUUUCGAUUUCUCCAUCUCCACUGCUGCCAUUGUCAUUCCGGCGAUUACCUCUGCCUCCGAUUGUAACAGUCUUCGAUGAUCCCUACUCCACCCGCGAAAUAUCAAUCCUAAGUUCUUUCAAGCUCAAACUAAGAGUUUGAUUCAAUCAAAUGUAAGCUUUCUCUAUCAAUACAUUUCUUUGGCUAGUGAGGAAGUAUGAGAAACUGAACCAAUUAAAUCUAGUUGAGCCCCCAAUUUUUCAAUUUAUUGAGAAAAUAUGUAGUUCGUCUCUAUCAGUUCUUAAUUUGGUGAAUCGAAUGGUCAAUAAUUAGUUAGAGAUUUAAAAUAUACAUCAAAAUUAGGUUUCUAGAUUUUCUUUUUCCUAAUUUAUCAUUAUCAGUUCUUGCGCAAUCAAAUUAUCUCUUCCUGUUAUUUGGGAUUUACUGUCUAUGGUGAUGAAAAGCGAUGGUUAUUGCAUUUAUUUGUUCUACACAUUACAUGAUCACAAGUUACCGGUUUCAAUAGCUGAAAUGAGGCUGCUUGAUUUUGCUUUCCAUUUUUUUUUAACUUUAUUUUUAUUUGUCAAGCUUAAAUUGGUGUAUAUUGGCUUCUAUUUGUUGGUGUAAUGUUCAACAAUUUAAUUAUUUAAUUGUCAAUAUUCUUUUGUUUGUCUUGAAGCAAAUUUAUUAAUUGCAUGUGCUUAUACUAUGGAUUAUAUCAAAUUAUACACAAUAAUUUUCUACUUAUUUUAGAAAAGGACAAAAAUAUCCAGAAGUCGAAGAAAUAUUCCUAUUUGCCAUAAAAAUUGCAGAGUUUUUGUUUAUGAAACUACUCUCACUUGUGUGGGUAAUGUUACAUUGGCAUUUGAUUUAUAGCAUUAAGAUUAACUCUGUUUAUUCAUUUAUUUUUUAUCAUUGCCACAGGAUGUUAUAAUGGGAAUCAGUAAAACAGAGAUAAACUUAAGGAGGUUGCUUGCAGCUGCACCUCGGCAACAAAAUCAAGCAAAACUUAUACAUGUAUGUCCAUUGAUUGCAUUCGGAAAUUAUUUUUUCAUAAUCCCUUUUUUUUUUUUAAUUUUUUGAUGCUUUAUUUUGCGUUGUUUAUGGUUUUGUAUAAUCUGAUUUCUGUAAUGGCAUUAGCGCAUUUAAUAAACUAAUUGUUUCUUUUGUUACCUAUGGAUUUAAUAUUGGAACUUUAUAGUAUGUUGCUACUUUACGAGAACAAUUGGAACAACUGGCUGAAGAGAGAACUCUAGAUGGCUUACCUAGGUAUGCGUGCUUUCUUUUAUAUCUUCUCUUAAAUUUGUUUUGAAUUGUAAUUGAACUUUGAAAAACUUUAAUCAAAUUUUCAUGGAUAACCAAUAUUGGAACUUUUUGUAAAUGUCCUUUUCAAGGAAAAUUGACUUGUUAAUAAUACAUCUAAGUUCUUUGAUUGUGAGCCAGAUUUCUCUUCCCCUUUGCAUUUGAGUUGGCCUUUUCUGUUCGGUAGCCAUUAUCAAUCCAAUAAAUCAAAUGUCGCUGGAGUUGUAUUUAUGUAACAAUCUCUAAGAUUUAAAUGCAGUGCUACUUUAACUUCUCUUUGAAUACAUUUCAACAGAGUUUCAAAGGCUAAGGUCAAUGAUUAUUCAGAAAAGAUUGAAGCCAUUGCUUCCAGAUUAGCUGCCCCAUUGGUGCGUUGCAUUGGAUACUUUUAAAUUAUUAAUGUGAUUGUGAACUUUAGCAACACUUCUAAAAUUAGUUGCACUAGCAGAUAUUUGAACAUAGUUAGAAGAGUAAGUUUUCUUCUUUUCAAUUCCUCCCUCAAGGGACUAAAAACUGUUGAAAUACCAUUGCCAUUAUAAUGUGGUAGAGCUUCAAUAAUUGUGAUGUAAACAGACUGAAGAUACGGGGUUAUGUUUCUGUGGAAGAAAACAUAAGAGCAAAUCUUGACCGAUUUCACUUUUGUUGAAAAGACUGUACAUAGGAUUUUGAUAUUACUGUCCACAAAUUAAUUCUUUUUUUUUUUAAUUAUCUCUUGAAUGAACUGUUCUUCUUCCCUCUCAGCUAAUAUGUUGACUUCAUGGAUUGCAAUACAUUCUCCUUGAUUUAAUUGCUUUUGUUGCCUGUUCUACUUCUUCUAACUGUUCCCCCCUUUGGUUACAGUGACUAAGCGUACUGAUUACAACUUAAAAGCAUACUAUAUGUUGUUUGUGUCAUCUAACCAUGCAUGCAAUUUAUGAUGUUGUCUCAAUUUGUUUGUCUUAUUAAUUGUCAGUAUUGGCAGUGGUUGAUGUUGUAACAUCUAACCACUUUUUAUGCGUCUAAUUCUCAGCGUCAGAUUCGGGUAUCCGAAGAGCCUUUUGCUGAGAGUUCAAUGAGCGAAAGUACUAGAGCAGAUGGAGAAACUCAGUUCCCUUCUUCUCCUGGCUUGAGAAGAAGCUUUGUGUAAUGAAUCUCUAGUUUUUAGGAUUUAUGUGAUUCAUGCAAUUUCCCUUUUGUUGUUCAUUUUCUUUUUCCUCCUUCUGUUUCUAUAUUUGUUUCAUUAUGAUUUUUGUUGUUCUUUGAACAGGGCAGCCCCAAAUUUUGAUGAUAGAACUCAUGAAAUCACUCAGGUUGAUACAUCAGCCCCUGUCAAACUGGAUGCUGCAGCAAAAACACACAUUGAAAAGCACAGGUACUUUUACUGUUUGAUUGGGGUACACCUAAUCAUGAUGUGAUAAUUGCAAAGAUUACAUAGUAAUCAACUCUUAGAUCUGUAAUCUAAGUUUUUCAAGUAAAAAUGUUGCAUUUAAUUCUAUAUAAAACCCAGUGGAGUUCCACAUAAACUCAUACAGCCAUUGUUUGCUAAAGAUGCAUUGACUACAGACCAAGGAUGGUCCUCUUGAGGGCAUUGGGUGAUUAUUCAUGAUUCUAUUUGUAGAGGUGUGCAUCAGUGGAUUCGGUUUGACCGAAUUAACCAGUAAUCAAAAUAGGGGAAACUAAACCAAAUUGAAUUACAUAUAUGAAUCAAACAUUUUGGUUCAGUUUGGUUGGCUCCAUACUGAAUCCUUUUGUUCUUGUGUGUGUGUGUGUUGUUUGGUUUUUUCGGUUAACAUGAUCAUCUGAUGACCGAAACAUGGUUAACAUGGUCAUCUGAUGACUGAAACAUGGUUAACAUGGUUGGCUCCAUACCAUGGUCAUCUGAUGGCCGAACCAAAUAAGAGGCCCAAAUCUUUGCUAAUCGAACCAAACCACAUAUUGUGGUUUGGUUAGUUGGUUAUUACCAACUAAUGCACACCCUUACUCCCCUAGCUAUUUUGGCAUUUCAAUGGCAUGAUGUGUACAGCAUAAGCAAGAUAGUAGUGGAAUUUUGGUGUAACAUGGUGCCCUGCUUGGCAUCAGCCUAGUAUUGUUCAGAGAGAGGGAGAGAACAAGUAUUUGAGCAAGAGGGGAACUCGGAUUGGAGUGGAAGGUAAGGCAGACACCAAAUUGAUCUUUAAUAUUUAUUAUGUUUCUUUCCCUACCGAGACGAAAGCCAAAGGUGAGUCUCGUAGGUGGACGUAUUGAACCGAAAAAAGAUCUCACUCCCCUGUCUCAACUCGCUUUCCAGGGAUAAGGUGAAAAUGAAAGGUUCAUUGCAAAUUGGAGUUUAUUGCAACAGGAUUUACAUAAAUAACAAUGCUUCAAUACAUUUAAAGUUUCUUAGUCCUCCUUCUUGACUGUUGCUUAUAGUACUAUAUUUAUAACGGUACAAUGUAGUUUCCUGAAAGUAAUAUGAAAAUUUUCAUGAUAUAGGCAGAGAUAUUCAAAAACAUAAUUUGUUCUACAUAUUUUCUUGCUCCAAGUUCCAAAGAUUGAAUCUAGGACUACCUAGUUGCUUCAAAGAUCAUCAACUUCUGAUUAAACUUUUGUAUCCUAUUGCAGAAAGCUUCAAGAAGACCUGACAGAUGAAAUGGUUGGGUUGGCACAACAACUAAAAGAGAGUAGUCUCUUGAUGAGCCAGUCCUUGCAAAAUACUGAAAAGGUAAUGAUUUUUGGAACCAAAUGGAUUACCUUCUGAAGAGAUGUGCAAUUGUAGCUUUGGUGAGUGAUUCUGCAUGUUCUGGGGAGGCAGCAUUAGAUGAUCGCGUAAUCCAUUAUUCUUUCUGUACAAGAUUAGCUAAUGAGUAUCUCUAACAUGGUAAUGAUUUAGAAACUACUAGGAUUGUGAAGAAGUGGCAUUUUCCUUUUGCCAUUAAUGGAUUGAUGUGAAGUGUCUGAAUUCUAUCUUAAAAUUGCUCAGAUUUGUAAAUGCUGUGAAGGAGAGGUUGGGAGUGGCAAUCAGAGAGAUAUCUAUGGCAGCAUUUUUCUGAAUUUAAUCCGUGGGAAUUGGUGUUCUAUUGAGGUCUUGUAUUUUGACAUACUAAUUACUCUCUUAAGCGAUGAAAGUUGCUAGGAUAUGAAAUUCUUCUUGACUAGUGAUGAAUUGAAGAACAACUACUGAACCAUUUCUGUACUCAUGCAGUAAUCGAUAAGCUGCUAAUCGUGUUAAUUGACUUGGAAUGGGCCCUUAAGGAAUUAACUAGUACAGAUCUAUAAAAUUGUAAAAGCCAUAAGAGGACAGGCUUUUGUAAGAAAAAUCUACCCUGUAAUUUUUUUUUCCCUACCAAUGAUUGGAUGGUGGACUCACCGACAAAUGAGGUAAGGGAAAUUGAGAAGCAACUUUCUACUUCAACCUUUUUUCUUCUUGAUAUGGUAAACAACUUGCCUUGAGCUCAUAAUUUGUUUGUAUUUUUCAAUUUUCUUUGAAAUAAUGGCAGUAGCAACUAAAACUUCUAGUUGAUGAGUGUAUGCAUCAUGAAUUUUUACAUUACCACUUAUCAUGUGGAAAUUCAGAUUUCUGUUCAUUUACGUGUUAUAGAUACUUGAAUUUAAUACUUUUCAAAAUGUGAUUGCAAAGAUCAUGUAUAUCGAUCUGGGACUAUUUUUUAAACUGAUGCUUUUCUUGUACAUGUCAGAAAGUUUUUGCACUCAAUGGCUGUAAAAAGAGAUACAUAAAUCUAUUAGAUGAAGCUAAAACAACAUAUAUGCAAGUUUUUAUUUCUAGUCUCAAAACCUAAAUGUUUGUUUUGGUGCAGAUACUCGAUUCUACAGAGAACGCUAUUGAGCAAAGCUUGGCAGGCACUGGCCGUGCCAAUGUCCGAGCCUUGGAGAUAUACUCGAAAAGUUCUAAAACUACAUGCUUCACUUGGCUUCUGAUUUUUCUAAUGACAUGUGUCUUCAUCAUGGUUGUACUCCUAAUUCGCGUCACUUAGAAGUUUCUUCAAGGUAAGCAAGUUUCUACAUGGUAAUGCUACUGUCUUGCAAUGCGAGUCUAGUGUUUAACCAUUUGUUCAAAAUCAACUCGUUUUUUAUGAAAGGGGUGCCUAAUGAUUUAAUUUUUUCUACCAGAUAUCAUUUUGUGACGAUACGGAGAUUAAUGACAAAUAAUAUGCAAUAUUUUCUUAUUCGUGUUGUUUGAGGUUGUUUUGGGAUUCAUAUUUUAAUCGACGGACAACUAAUUCUAAAGUAAGUUUAACACUCAUAUUAUGAUUGUAUUUUUUUUUCUUUUUUCUUUUUUAAUAUAAUGUCUUUUACUUGAGAAGAUGAUAGGUUUUUAUAUUUCUUCUGUUUGGGUGAAAAAUGGAUAAAUAAACUAUUAAUACUGAAAUAGAUAGUCUAAUAAUGUGGAUUUGAUGAUAACCGAAUUAUUAAGUAUAAGUUCUAUUAUUUCAUGUGGAACUUUUGGGUUAUAAUUUAUAAAAUCUCUCUGUAUCCAUAUGACACACAUUAUUGGAUAAAUUGAAUAUUUUUCAUAAAAAUUUAGGCAGAAUUUUUCCCCUUUUCUUUUUAAUAAAACAAAUUAUAUUUUGAAAACUCAAGUGUUAUUUAUAGUUCUAUAAUUUGAUGCAGUGAAUAUUUUAACUGCAAAUUGAUAUGGACGACAGCGGUUUCGGUUCCAAAUAACGUGAACAGUUACCGUUUUGGCUGCUGUUCUAAAAUCGACGGUUCCAUACAGUUUUUCAGACCUACCUUCAAAUCAAGAUUUAAUUUUCAAAAUUUCAAAUUCAAAAUCAACAUCAACUUUGCCCCCAUCAAUUUCCAAAACGGCUGUUGUUUAAAAUUCAAAUUGUUAAAGACUUCACACACUAGCCCCUUCCAUUCCUACUAUGAGAAUGGAUAUUCUUGAUUUCAGAAUUACUAAGGAACAGUAGAAAAAUAUCAAAUAUUUAAAAGGGAUAAACAUAAGAUAUUGAGAUUCAAAAUCCAAAAUAUAUGUGACAGAUAUAAAAAAGAAAAGCAAGUGUAUAGUUGUAAUAUAUAUGUCUUUUCAUAUUAGUUAGUAAUUUUUUUAAAAUCCAUUAGUUAAUAGUUUAUUUGCACAUUAACACAUGAUCUAGGGUUAAAUUCACGUAUGGUUUGAUAAUAAAUUUAAAUUUAAAUUUAAAUUUCCCUCUUUGAAUAUUUAAAAAGAGUUGAAUUUUUUAACAAAGGAAUGAUUAAUUAAUAAAUUUAAUUUGUUUUCAAAAAGAAAAGUUGAUAAGGAAAAUAACAUGAUUAGAUUGUUUUAGAAAAUUUUUUAUUUAAAUUAACUGUAAAGUAUGUUUUUAUUAAUUUAAAAAUACCUUUUAUUCUAUAUCAAACAUAAUAUAUAAAUUUAUUGUUAAAUUUUAUAAUUUUAUAGUCCCUACAUUCUACAAAAAUAGAUUUAUUUAUAUUUCUACACACUUUAAGAAAAAAAGCAAUAAUAUUAUUGACAUAACAAAUUUUAUUUGUAUUAUUUUAAUAUAUGUCAAUAUUAAUAUUAGAUGUGACUUUCAAUAAUUUUAUAAAUUAAAAAAGCAAAAAUGGAAAAUAAAACUUUUUUGGUGCAUCAAACAAACAAUCUCUUAAUAAUAAUUCAAAUAAUAUGGGACUGAAUUUAUUUACAUAGAUUCUCAGAUUAUAUAUUUUGUUUUAAAGUUUAUUUCAAUAGAUAACUCGAGUUUAAUUUAGUUAUUUCUGAUUCUAAAACACUCAUAGAAUCUAAACUUUAUAUUGUUGUGGAGUGAAUUAAGAGUCAAGAUAAUGUAAGUACCCAUUGCCCUGUUAGAGCUUCUUACCGUCAUGCUCGUAUCCAAAUUUAUCCAUUAAUGUUUAUGAGGUUAUUUUUCAUCCAGCUAAUGAAAUCUCAUUAUUCUCUUUUAGAAAAAAUAAUAAUAGAAAAAAUAAUAAUUUAAAUAAUAAUAAAAGAACAAAAUAAUUUCAGAAGGCCAUCUAUAGUACUCUUUGGCCUUUGAUGCCACCGAGAUGCUCACAGCGCUGUCAUUCCAGAAGUUUCUCUUCAUUUCAUUAUUGUUUUUUAAAAUAAAAGCCCAAUUUCCUUUUUAUUUUUUUUAAGUUAUAAUAGACAAAUUACAGGUCAGUAACAGCUUUCCACGACGAAGCAGACUACAAACUAGAAAAGACUGACCUUCUCAGGAAACAAAAAAUUAAACAACACAACUCAUCUCGUCUCGUCUCGUCUGGUCUAUUCUCGUCUCCUAUUCCCAGUAGAAUACACCUUAGUACCUGCAAAACUUAAACCUAAAUCACUUUCUUUUUUCCCUUUCUAUUGUUAUUCAAUUUCCAAUAUUCAAACCCUAACAGAUCGGUUCUUCAUCGUCCGUACUCCGAAUUAAUCAAUCAUGCCUUCCCGUCGAAGAACUCUCUUGAAGGUCAUAAUCCUCGGCGAUAGCGGGUCAGUCACCUGUACUUACAUGGUUAAUUCACCGCUUAUUUUGCAAAGUUCUAGGGUUUUGUUUUUAGGUUAAGCUGAUCUUUCGAGAUCUUAUUGCUUUUGUUACUUGCUCAAGUUCAACUAUGUCAAUUAUGAUCUGAUUGAGGAGUUUUUGCUUAGGUAAUUGAAUUGUUGAUUAGGAGUUGGUGUAUCUAUUUUGGUUUUAGGGUAAAAUUGAGUGUAUAAUUUUGUUUAUGUUAAUUGAAAAUAUACAUUUGAAGUGAUUAAGGAUGUUGUUGUCGAUAAAUUGUUGUUAAUGGUGGUUUUUGGGAUUGUUUGUUGAUGUUUAAGAUAAUGAAUUUGCAUUUGUUUUUUAUUUACAGGGUCGGGAAGACCUCUUUGAUGAAUCAGUAUCCUUCUGUUAUUGGCUUUUUGAUUAGUGAUUUCUAUUCCUUCUCUUGAAGGGGAAAUAAAUGCAUUCUCGUAAAUCUAGGAAGUGGUGCCUUUUCUACUUUUGUUUUCUUGACUUAAUUGCUUUUAGAUAUGUGAAUAAGAAGUUUAGCAAUCAAUAUAAGGCAACAAUCGGAGCUGAUUUCUUGACUAAGGAAGUGCAGUUUGAAGAUAGGCUCUUCACUUUACAGGUUUGUAGUAGUACAUGGCCUAUUAUAUGAAAUCGUGAUGUAACUUAAAGUUUGCUUAUGCACUACCGUGCAUUCACUUUCUGUGGUUUCUUCCUUUUGGGUUGGUUUGGAGUAUAUAUUUUAGGAAUAAGGUAAUGUCUUUUAGCUGUUGACUUUCCAUUUUUCAUCUUUUUUUUUUCUAUAUAAUAUUUCUUAUGCAAUCGGUAUAGUGAGGGUGGGAGAGGGCAGGGCUAAAGCUCUAGUCUUUGCUUGCAGUCCACUACUGAUAUGUGUGAAUCGUCUUUCCUUGUUGCUGCUGAGUCAUAGAGGUAAUUGUUUGGACUAGAUGACAAUAUGCAGAAAUAAAUGAAGGUUCAGAAUGAAAAAGCUCAGUUGGUAGCCUAACUUACCUAUAUUUCCUUUUCGCCCAGGAGCAAUAAUGGUCAUGGCUUCUAUCUGGGGGCAGGGGGAUUUUGGAUUAGUGGAAAUCCAGUUGGUACUGACAAGCGACAACACUUAUUGCAGAUAGUUGGGUUGGGAAGGCCAUAAACUUUAGGGUUGCUAAAAGUAGAACUGUCUGGGACAAUCUUCAGGGCCAUAUUAUAAUUAAUUACAAUUAGCGCCACAAAAUCAGGGCUGUGUUUUAGGCUUGUGGUAAGUUGCAAAUUUGAGGUUUCCUUCCAUAAUGAAUCUAGGAAUGAAAUCCUCUAUGUGGUGACUGCGCACUAGAGGUCGGUCAAGAGGUAGUAGUAUUACCAUUGGUACUCUCCUAGUCUGCUGAUUGAUGGUUGCGUUCCCUUAUCAUUUGUGGGACAUCUUGUUCUAAGGUGGUCACUGCAUGAGUUUUGUAGGCUAAGGCAUUGUGUUCUGCUUGUCCCAAUUGCUCAACUAUCAUAUUUUUGGCACAAAUUAAUUCUGUGCUUUAUUGCUGGUAAUAUGUAUUUUUGUGGCUUGUUGAAUUCCUGAUUGAUUUUAUUAGUUAAUCUGCUAGUGUUUUACUUGUAUAUUUUGUAUUCUGUUGUUUUGGCAGAUCUGGGAUACUGCUGGCCAGGAAAGAUUCCAAAGUCUUGGCGUUGCUUUCUAUCGUGGUGCUGAUUGUUGUGUUCUUGUAUAUGAUGUUAAUUCAAUGAAAUCAUUUGACAAUCUCAAUAAUUGGAGAGAAGAAUUCCUCAUACAGGUAUUAUUUGAUUUAUCUGCAAAUUUACAGGGCAUUAUUGAACAGAAUACAUGAUUUUCUUAGUUGUUUUCUUCAUAAUUUUAUGCCUCUGCAAAUUUAUCUGUCUGUAGGCAAGCCCUUCUGAUCCAGAGAAUUUCCCAUUUGUUGUUCUUGGAAACAAGAUUGAUGUGGAUGGUGGAAAUAGUAGAGUGGUAUGCAUCUUCUUGAAUUUGUUGCGCUGUACACUUUUACAUGUGUUUCCAAUGUGCUUGUGCAUUUUGUUUAUGUGUUGAAAUCAAUACUUUUGCUUGUUAAUUUCAGGUUUCAGAAAAAAAGGCAAGAGCGUGGUGUGCCUCUAAAGGGAAUAUACCAUACUUUGAGACUUCAGCCAAAGAAGGCAUCAACGUUGAAGAAGCUUUCCAAUGCAUUGCAAAGAAUGCCCUGAAGAGUGGGGAAGAGGAGGAGAUGUAAGUUGCCAAACUGACCAUUUUUAUCUGCAUGGACUUAUUCUAUACUAUCUCAUGGGGAUUGCAAAUCAACAAGUCUUGCUAAUUUUCUGGCCUGAUAAAAUUUGAAUUACAUGUUAAAUUAAAAUACCUUUUAAGUAAUGUCAUACUGUUGCCCAAUAGUGUAAUGAUUUAAGAUUUGGAUUGGCUAGUGAGAAUAUUUGAAAAUUGAUUCAAUACGCAAGCAGACAAUGUGGCCAAUGUGGUUGACAUGCAAAUGCCGCCAAUAGAAUUGUUAUUUAUAUCUAAAUAACAUGCAUCCGAUUUAUGUUUGAAUAUUUUUAAAAUGACACUGACAUCACUUUUUCUGUUGUCCUUCUGGUGGCAAUUUUAUGGUGUGAAGAUACUUGCCAGAUACCAUUGAUGUUGGUAACAGCAGUCAGCCUAGGUCAACUGGAUGUGAGUGCUAAAACUGUGGCUUUUGAUUCUUGAGAUUCAAUAACCUAUCAAGUCUUAUAAAUGGUUUGGCCUCUUUCUAGCGAUUCUUAUUCGUAUGUAUGAGUUUAUACUGUACAUUAGCGUUUGUGGGAAACAAAUUGGUCAAUUGGUGCUGGUUUUGGUGCCUUUCUGUAAAACUGCUGUGAUUUGUUCAGGUUGUGGUUGAUUUGUUCUAGGCACUAUCCUGUUACUGUUAUUUAGUCUUGUUACUAUCACAAAAGUCAUUUCUUUUUUGUUUAAUGAUCAAUGUAUUUGAUUUGAGUUCCAUAAAUAGAAACAUUACAUAUCAAUGCUUUUUAGUUUGUUGAAAACAAUUAAAGUAAAUGCUUAAAGAUGUUUCAAAAGUUUUCUUUUUAAGGUGAUUUUAUUCUCCCCAAUAAUGGGAUAUACAAGGAAAACAUACUAAAAAGAUGCUCCAUCUAUAAGAUUUUUAAACCAUGGUAAUUAAAGAAGUAUUUAAUUUUAUUAAUUACUUCUUAAUUUAGGAUAUGUAGAAAUUUUGAUUUUAUAUAUUGCUGUUUUAGAAAUCACUUCUAAGGUUUGAGGAGAAUAGUGAAAGACGAAUUGAGUUAGGUUUGAUCAGCCAAAAGUGAAAUUGAAAAAAGAAACGAAGCUUUCAUUUUCAUGAAUAACCCCAUGCUUAUUGACCACAAAACAAAAGCCAUCCAAUAGAAAUAGGAACCACUCGUUCGGUUCAGUUUAAUUGAAUUAAAUUAGUGUAAAUCAGAAAUCAAACAAUUACAUCUUGAAUUCAUUCGAUUUGAUUUUUAAUUAAUUUUGAAUCAAUUUGAAUUUAUUUUUUUACAAAAUCAAAAGAUGAGCUUAAUCGAAACUUAUUCUACGCCUAGACACAAGAGGUUCUACAAGUGCAUGAACUCUCUCUCUCUCUCUCUUCCCCCUUGUUUAGGUAACUAUUAUCUUAUUCGAGGGUAUUGAAGCACCUAAUAUAAUUCGAAAUUACAUAAAAAAAAAUUUAUAUGUAUAUAAUAUUGAUUAAUUUUCUUAAAGCAACCCUAUCGCACUUUACAUUAUAUGAGACAUGCAAUUACAAAAUUUUAAAACCAAACGCCCAAGUUUUGAGUUGAAACUUGGAAUUUCGUAAAUUUAUUUAACAUUCAAUGUGGAAUAAUCAAUUCAAGUCUUCAAUUUAGGCCAAUAUGGAAGAAGAAAACCAUCAAUUGAAACUUUAUUUUUGUCUUAAAAAUAAAAUAAAGAUACUAUAUUAUUACUUUUUGUACAUUAUGCCAUUAAUCAACUAGUUAUUACAUAAAUUAAUGAUGAAGAACAAAAUGAUAACUAAAGAAAAUACUAUAUAUAAUUUUCUACCUAGCUAUAUAUACUUGUAAUAAUAAUCAAUUAAACCUUGAAUAUAAUUGUAAUAAUAUGAUCACAUCACCACCCAAUAGAAAAUAUUGUGUUUAUGUGCAAAACAGAAUUUUGUACCUAUUGGACCUAAAACUGAAUAGUUUUAGAAGGAGAAUAAUGACAAAACAUUCACAAGCUAAAAAUGGGUAAAAUUUGCUGAACAAAACAAACUAACUACUUAAAAUUCAAAAAUAGAUUAAAGUGACUAAGAGGCUAAGAGCUAGCCUAAGCAACUAAUUAACAAACAAUGUGUCAUCUAGUGAGAUUUACACUAAGUCUUAGGCUGCGUGGUUACAAAGGGUUCAACUUAAAAGUAGGAAAAACAGAAAACCUCACUGUCAAAGACAAGAAUUUCCUCCUUUCUAGGAGGGGUUUCUGUGAGGUGUACACGGUUUUCCCUUUCUUCUUGUAACUCUAUUACCAUGCAAGACCAUUUCUUUCCACAUUUUGAGAAUCCUUCCACCCUUCUCCCAUAGGUACUCUCUCUCUCUCUCUCUCUCUCUCUCACACACACACACACACACACACACACUCACACACAAGAACAAGAACACAUCUAUUAGUAAAAAUAUUUUAUGAGCUUAGAAGUAGUCAUGACCAUCAAAAUUUAACUUUUCAUUGGUUAUUGAUCUUAUUGUUCUUAGAUUGUUUAAUUUUAUGCAUGUUAUUAAUCCUUUAGUAGUUCUGAGUCUUUAAGAUUAUUCAUAUGUUGUUCUUCAAUUAGUAUUCAUUUUCUUUAAUGAAUAUUGUUUUAUUUUGCUAAAGCAUAUAUAUAUAUAUAUAUGUUUCUUAUUCUUAGGGAUUACAAGGGAGAUCAUUUGGAGGAGUGGUGGGGGUAGACCGUUGCCUUUGUAAGAAUAAUAUAUAGGUCGGAAGUUCUUCUUAUGGCUUCUGCCCCGUCACCGGACUCCUCACCUUCUCCUCCUCCUCCUCCUUCAUCAUCAGCAAAUUCGCCAUCUCCAUCAUCUUCACCUUCCCCACCUCCUCCACUAUCCUCACCACCACCACCACCAAAUAAGAAGUCAUCUCCACCCCCACCUUCAAAUAAAGCGCCACCCCCGCCAAAUAACUCAAAUGCUUCACCACCACCACCUCCUUCCUCUUCUAAGACAAAUACACCACCACCUCCUUCCUCUUCUAACACAAAUACACCACCACCGCCGCCAAAUAACAGUGACAAUAAUGAUAAAUUUUCACCCCCACCCUCGCCUCCAUCAUCAUCCAAAUCCAGUCGUCCACCACUACCACCACCAUUAGCGUCCGGAUCAACUGAUAAAUCCUCUAGUACCAUUGUACCCAUUGUAAUUGGAGUUGUGGUCGGGGUGGCAGCCAUGCUUCUACUUGCAUCACUUGUUUACCUGUGUACAAGCAAAAAGAAAAAGAAGAAGAGAAUAGAGUAUGAUUACUACAGUAGCGACCCAUCUCCUGCACUCAAUGGUACCACCUUCAAAACUUCAUCUUUCUGAUAAAUAACAAUGUAAAGAAGAGUUAUUUUCUUCCAUUAUAUAUGUGUGUAUAUAUAAAUUAUUACACUCCAACUUAGAUUCAAGUUUACGAUUUAACAGUUUAUAGCUCUAUAGAUUCAUAUGUUGAUUUCAUUUUUAAAUGAAAAAUGGUUAUAUAUGAAACGCACAUGCAGGUGGUAAUAGUUAUUAUCCAACUACUCAACGGCCAACUAAUAAUUGGCAGAUGGGAAACCAAUAUAACAAUGAUCAAAUGGGCAACUUACCUCCACCUCCUGGUGCUCAUGGGUGGCCAUCACCAUCACCACCACCUCCACCAGCACAAUCACCAGGUCCGCAACAACCUCUCCCUGGUACAAAUGCAUCAACUGGUAGUGACAAGAGCUCAAAUUUCUCAGGUCCACAUGGUCCAGCCUUGCCUCCUCCGCACCCAUUGGUGGCUCUGGGGUUCACUCACAGCUGUUUCAGCUACGAGGAGCUAGCAGCAGCGACUGACGGUUUCUCUAAAGCUAACCUACUAGGCCAAGGCGGGUUCGGGUACGUGCAUAAAGGAGUUUUGGCUAAUGGUAAAGAAAUUGCAGUGAAAAGUCUUAAAGUUGGCAGCGGACAAGGAGAUCGUGAAUUUCAAGCCGAAGUGGAGAUUAUUAGCCGUGUCCACCAUCGCCAUCUUGUGUCGCUUGUUGGAUAUUGUAUGGCAGGUGGCCAACGGUUGCUGGUUUAUGAGUUUUUACCCAAUUCCACCCUUGAACAUCACCUCUAUGGUAAGAAACCUCAAAUCAUUAGAGUAUUCUCCCAAGCAUUUCCCUCCAUUAUUAACCGAAACACAAGUUCCAUACUGAAAAAUGCACUUUGCCGUUGCGCGCAAAGAAGAAUUACACCUCCGGUCAUCAAUGCAUGUACCAAACAUUUUCAUUUGGUCAUUUUUUUCUUUCUCGAAAUUUUGCAGGUAAGGGUCAGCCUACCAUGGAUUGGUCCACUAGGCUCAAAAUUGCCCUAGGAUCAGCCAAAGGACUUGCUUACUUGCAUGAAGAUUGUAAGUCAUCAAUAAUUAUUACAUUAUUAAAGCUUCAACACUGAGAAUAAAAAUUAAACCUCUUGAAUGGCAAAACUUUCAUAAUUAACUUCAACAAAAAAAAAUAAUAAUAAUAAUAAAAAAGAUAAAUGUUUUCAUAUUUUUUUUUAAUUGUUCGAUUUGGCUCAAUUUUGAAUUAUGAUAAGUUUUGAUGAUUUCUGUUUGAUUUAAUUUUAAUAAUAAAAGUUAAAAUAACUAAAUAGAACUGAACUAUAUAUUUAUAUAGAAAUAUAAACAUAUUAUUUUAACAGACUUUGAAAUUUUGGUUAUUUUGAUUUUAUUUUUUAGUUAUUUCUAGAAUUUUAUUUUUUAUUUUUUUACAAAAAUUAGGUUAGUUUGAUUUUUUUUUUUUUUUUUUUUUUAAAGAACUUCCUUCUUAAUUUUAUAAAAUUCAAACUGAACGGACCGAAUGUUUACCUCUACUCUCCCAUUAUAACAUGUUUGAUACAGGUCAUCCUCGCAUUAUCCAUCGAGACAUUAAAGCUGCAAAUAUUUUGCUUGAUUUCAAUUUUGAAGCGAAGGUACGUUUAUCAUCUGCAAUAUUAUAUAUAAAAUUUAUUAAUUUUCCUCCAUUUUGGAUUAAUUUAGAUUGAAUUAGUUCGUCUAAUAAUUAUUUCUGUGUUGAAUCAACACUAAUUAUCAGGUGGCAGAUUUUGGGUUGGCCAAGCUAAAUUCAGACAAUUUUACCCAUGUCUCAACUCGUGUCAUGGGAACUUUUGGGUUUGGAUCUUUUACUUAAUUAAUUUUCGAUUUUUCCACUAAUUAAUAUCUCGAAAAAAUGUUAAUUUUAUAUCCAGUAAACGCAAACAUGUCUUACUGCUUGAGCAAUGGUUAAUUAGUUUCAUUAUAAUUAGAUAUUCACAAGCAAUAUAGAUUAAUCUGUAAUUGCAAUACGAAACUUAGAUGAAAGUUUAAUGGGAUUAAUUAUUAUAAUUAAAUAACUAAUGAUGAUUUUUUCCAUUGCAGGUACUUGGCUCCUGAGUAUGCAUCUAGUGGCAAGCUUACUGAGAAAUCUGACGUUUUCUCCUUUGGUGUAAUGUUAUUGGAACUCAUAUCUGGACGCCGUCCUGUGGAUAUAAAUUCAGAGAUGGAUGAGAGUCUUGUUGACUGGGUGACCAUUUCUCUACCCUUAACUUCGACUAAAAUUUAUUUUAAAACGAUGAAUUUCCAAUUCUCUUAAUCAUAAAAAUUAUAUGAAAGUAAACAAAUUAAAUUUUCUAACAGCAUUUUCCAACAUUUUUUGUAAAAACCAAUUCAAUCUAAAAGCAAAACAAACUAAAUAUGUAGAUUAUCUUGGAAGGUUAAAAUAGGAUGAUAAGAAUCUUUUAUGUUUUAAUUAGAAAUUUUGAGUUCGAGUUUUGAAUAUGGAGUUUUUUUUUUUUUUUUGAAAGAGAUAUGAAAUCUUUUUAAUAUUCGGGAAUAAGCAUUUUGCCCUGCUUUAUGGCCAAUCCGAUGUGAAUCUGGAUUAGUCGAGCUAAUAGGCACACUGGAUGAUUGAAACCAAACUAAAUAUGCGGAAGAAUAUCUUCAAAUGUUACUUGUUUUAUGCAUCCACAGGCGAGACCAUUAUGUGCCAGUACAGUGGAAAGUGGAAAUUUUCAAGCAAUGGCAGAUCCUCGUCUGGAUGGCAACUAUGAUUCAGCUGAAAUGGCACGCAUGGUUGCUUGUGCUGGUGCGGCCAUUAGACAUUCAGCCAGAAGACGACCAAAAAUGAGCCAGGUAAUUGCAAACAAACUCUUAAUCACAUAUUUAAUCAAUUACUAUUAUCACUAUUUUUUUUUAAAUAGAUUAGAAUAUUACUUGUUUAUCAACCAUCCCAGAGUCUCCAAAUAUGAAAUGUUUCGUGUAUAUUUAUGCUAAUUACAAAGAAUUUUAUCUACGAAGCAGAUUGUUCGAGCUCUAGAAGGCGAUGUCUCGCUAGAUCACUUGAAUGAAGGGGUCAAAACUGAUCAACGAGGGCUCGAUUCUACUAGUUAUAGUUCAGAGUAUGACAGUGCCUCAUAUAGUGCAGACAUUAAGAAGUUUAGGAAGAUGAUAUUAAUGGACAGUAGCCAAGAAUAUGCAAGCAGUGAUUAUGGUCACACAAGUGAGUAUGGACUCAACCCUUCCUCUUCAAGCAGCGAAGGUGAGACAGGUAGCGGAAAGAACAGUCCUCGAUGAAGGAAAAAUUAUCGGAUUCUCAAAUUUUAAGCAAAGAAAUUAUCGCCAUUGAUUGGUAUUUGGAUGAAUAGACUAAUUUUCAAGAACUGGGUUAUUACUAUUAAAAUGCGAGUUUAUUUCUUCUAGCAAAUGGGAAGAGUGAGAGUGAUAAUUUUAUCAUGAAACUGCAACUAUUUGUUUAGGUUUAGCCUUCAUCAAAUGGAUGAUGGUGAAGGCACAAUUACAUUGUCCUUGUCUUUGUAAUCUUGCAUUCGUCAUUAAUGGAGUUCUUGUAGAAUUUGUCGAUUUGAGUAAAUUUCUGUUGGAAAAUUGAUGCUUAUUAUUAUUAUUGUUUUAACACUAAGCAGUGGUAGAAGCUCAAAUUAACAACCAACUUGUCAAGCUCACACAGCUAUCUAAUAGAUUUAAGACUCUCGCUCUCGCGGUAAUUUAUAAAACCUCUUGAUCUGUUGAUGGUUAUUUAUAUAUAAACAAAAUAGAUAAACAUAACUUAGUUAAGAAUUAUAACUCUAUCAAAAAUAUAUAUAUAUAAUCGUGUUUGAAUAUCAACUUGUGAAUUUCAUUGAAUUUUUAAAAUUCAUUUGUGAAAUUCGUAUUUUUAUAUUUAGUAUUAAAAUUGUUCAUUUCAUUUAUGAUUUUUUCAAAAAAGUUUGAAUUUGUUAAGUUUAACAUAAUACAACAUCACUCUAUUGUGUUUGAAAUAUAUAUUCGAGAAUUUAGCCAAUUUAAAAAUAAUUAAAGUCCUUUUAAGAUUUAAUUUGGUAUUUUAAUGAAUUAAAAUAAAAGUAAUAGAAAUUAAUCAAAUUACCAUAGUUGAACUUUUAAAGUGCAUAAAACAGCUAUUUUCAUGGAAUAGUUAUUUCUAUAAAAUAGUUAUUCCAUAGAACAACAAAUUUCAGCGUUGAGUUUAGGAUGAACUUUUAAAUAUAUAAAUAAUUUAUUGCUUAUUAAUAAAAAAAAUUAACUAUUGUCAGAAAUUUAAGAAAAUAUUUUCUUUAAAAAAUAAGUAUUUUAUUAUAAUGUUAUUUCAUAUUGCGAAUUCAAUGCUAUUACUGUGUUCAAAUAUCGAACAAAGAAUUCGUAUAUGAAUAUAUGAUAUGCAAAUAUCUUUGAUACCAAAUUUAAAUGUGAAAAAUGUAAAAAUUUUGAAAAAUACGACACCUAAUUUGUAAAUUCCUGCACAAAUUAAAAUCGAUGAGUCUGGCCAAUAAAAAUUCAAAAUCGCAAAUGUUUUAUUUUCUGUAGUACCAAAAUAAUUAAUUAAUAUUAGAUUUGGAUACAUUAAAACAUAUCCUGCCCAAACUUUUGUCUAACAAGUUAAGAAACCAUGAUUUGGGGCAGUUUAGGAAUUAAAUUGACAGAACAUGGUGACGUGGCCUUUACUGAUUAGUCACACUCCAUCCUCCACCUUCGUAGCAUCAUUUUAUGCAUUGAGGUCACAAAUGGUAACGAGCAGAAAAUAUUAGAUCCCUCGUCUUCGAAAUUUCACUGCCAGAGAGAAACACAGAGAGAGGGAAAGGGUCUCUAUAAGUACGACAAUCUACCCUGCAGAUCUUGAAGAUUCGUAGCUUUUAGCAAUGGCUCAGCCUCUCAUAAAGAAAGACGACGACCGCGACGACGAAGGUAUUGAAUCCGUUUUCAUCUUCUUCACUUACGACACGAUCUCAUUUUCUACUCGAUUUCAUACUUCGAUUUCAAUUUCCCUAUUUAAUUUAGGGCUUAAUUGCAGAAUCCUAAGUUACCGGCAUUAGAUCAAUUGUUAGCUUCUAGAUCUGUGCCAUUCUCUUUUUAUAAACAUGUUUGCUUGUUUGUUUCAUUACAGUAGGUCCAAAUUUUAAGAGCUUUUAAGCUGAUUUGGUGUAGCUUUAGUUGAUCUGAUCUCUAUAACAAAGAUUGAAGUUGGUAUAUGCUUUCCUAAUCCCUAAAUCCCAAUGUGCAUUGGUAAUUCUGUGCAUCUCUGCUAGAAAAAGUUGAUCUAAUGGGACUUGUAAUUCUUAGUACAUAAUACAUAUGGCGCUCUAGUUGUUGUUUUUAUCGAUCUUAAUUGAACAAGUCCUUAUUGGUUAGCCAGUGGUAUUCAUUGUUAAGCCCUCAUUUUAAGGGAUCUGAUAGAGCUCUGUAUUUGCCAUCUUGCUGUAAAUCUCAAUAGAUUUAGUGCUCUUUCUAGAUUUAUCUAAUGUGGAUUUUCUGGUGACAUGGAUUACCUAGAUUAGUUAUUGAUGCACUAAAAAUUAUAGUGUAUUUUCAAUUAUGAUUAUAGUAUACAAGGAAGGACCAAUAACAUGUAUGAUUCUGUGAUAUUUAUUUUUGUCAGCGGAGUUCUCUCCAUUUCUUGGUAUUGAGAAGGGUGCAGUUCUUCAGGAAGCCAGGGUUUUCAAUGACCCUCAGCUUGAUCCAAGAAAAUGCUCUCAGGUUUUUGCUUUAUACUGCCUCAUUAUCUAUUUACAAUACAUAUGACCUGCUUGUGCUUAUUCAGAGAAAAAGAGGUAGGAGGGAAAAUAUGGGACCCAUUUGCUUAUGAAUUUUGGUAUGUUAUUUUUCUUUCAGGUCAUUACAAAGCUUCUAUAUCUUCUGAACCAAGGAGAAACAUUCACUAAGGUCAAGUAUUUCUGCUGGAGAGCUUACAUCUUGACUGUCUCAUGAGCAACGAGAGACAUGCUCUUUUUUUUUUUUUUGUAUAUAUUUGGAACAAAAUGAAACCUUGUCUGAAAUACUUUUUUUUGCAUUAUUCUUAUAGGUUGAAGCCACAGAAGUUUUCUUUGCUGUGACAAAGCUUUUUCAGUCCAGGGAUAUAGGUUUAAGGAGAAUGGUCUAUUUGAUGAUAAAGGAAUUAUCCCCAUCAGCAGAUGAGGUCAUAUUGCUAUGCUUUUAUUGGCAUCUCCUAUUUAUAAUGUUGUUAUUACUUAUUCUUUAGUUCAGAUGUAGAUACUGACUAGCUACAUUCUUCCCUACAAAAGGUUAUAAUUGUGACAAGCUCCCUUAUGAAGGACAUGAAUAGCAAGAGUGAUAUGUACCGUGCAAAUGCUAUUCGUGUGCUUUGUCGGAUAACAGAUGGAACCCUGCUCACCCAAAUUGAGCGAUACUUGAAACAAGCAAUUGUUGACAAGAAUCCAGUGGUUGCUAGUGCAGCCUUGGUUAGUGGUAUCCAUUUACUCCAGGUACUAUUUAAUUGUCUUACAUCUUCUUUUAGUUUUUGUUUUUGGAAUUACCUAAUAUGUUCUUUACUGUUUGGCAGACAAAUCCAGAGAUAGUGAAAAGGUGGAGCAAUGAGGUUCAGGAAGCUGUGCAGUCAAGAGCUGCCCUUGUACAAUUUCAUGCACUGGCAUUACUCCAUCAGGUAUGGUUAGAUUUGAGUUUAAUUAGCAUUCCCAGCUCUAUGUAGAAUUUGAAUAUGGUUUUUAUGAGAUAAAUCAAAGAUGGUUGCCUAAGUAAAAAGUUUCUCUUUGAAGAUCAAUGGUUGCAGGUGAUAUACUUGCUAAAGGUAAUUUGUUUUGUGGAUGCGGAGUGGAUUUGAGUUUAAGUUAACAACUUCAUUGCCAAUUAUCAGUUCUAUGAUAGCAUUUCUUUUAUCAAAAAAAUGGAUACAUACAUUAUUGAGGCCUUCUUGGCAUUCUUUUUGACUUACCAUUCUCUGAAUGUUGUGCAAUUGUGCUACAUUUUUGUUUCAUUUUCUAUUUCUUGAGUUAUAUAUGAAUGUUCAUAUUCUUUGUGCUGUAUUUUUUUUUUCUUGUAUUAGCUGAAUCAUUGCUCAGGCUGCUUGAAUGUGGAUUCAGUGGACCAUUUUAUUAAGAUGCUUGUGCUUUUAAAACCAUGCAGAUACGGCAGAAUGAUCGACUAGCUGUCAGCAAAUUAGUUACCAGUCUGACUAGGGGAACUGUUCGCUCGCCGCUGGCCCAAUGCCUCUUGAUACGUUAUACAAGUCAGGUUAGUGUAUGCCACUUGAACUUAUGUUUGACAGUGAUAUUUUUUAUUUUGUUACUAUACAUGAAAUUGUUUUUACGUGCAGGUUAUUCGUGAGUCAGGUGCUAACACUCAAACAGGGGACCGUCCUUUCUAUGAUUUUCUGGAGGGUUGUUUGCGCCAUAAGGCAGAGAUGGUGAUUUUUGAGGCUGCCAGAGCUAUCACAGAGCUUAGUGGUGUCACAAGCCGAGAAUUGACUCCAGCAAUCACUGUUCUGCAGCUCUUUUUGAGUUCUUCCAAACCUGUGCUGAGAUUUGCUGCUGUCCGCACCUUGAACAAGGUAAACGAGUUUUCCUUUAAGCUAUUAAAGGCUAGAUUUUGGUUUUUCGGGAAUGCUGCAUGAUGGGUGCAAGGGGAAUAGGUAUUUCUUUCAUGAUUUUCAAGGAUUUGGAAUCACAUGCUAAACUGCUGAAUGUUUCAUCGAUUUGAAGGUGGCAAUGACACAUCCAAUGGCAGUCACUAACUGCAACAUUGAUAUGGAGAGUUUAAUUUCUGACCAGAACAGAAGCAUUGCCACUCUUGCAAUCACAACACUGCUUAAGACAGGAAAUGAAUCAAGUGUAGAUCGCCUGAUGAAGCAGAUUACAAAUUUCAUGUCAGAUAUUGCUGAUGAGUUCAAAAUUGUUGUGGUGGAAGCCAUAAGGUCACUGUGUUUGAAGUUUCCCUUGAAGUACAGAACACUGUGAGUGAUAUUUUUACUAGGCUUCAUUGUCAUCUGUUCUCUAAUUUAUUAGCAACCACAAGUUUAUGUUUUUUUUUUUUUCUUUUUGUUUGUAGUAUGAACUUUUUAAGCAACAUCCUUCGGGAAGAAGGUGGAUUUGAGUAUAAAAAGGCAAUUGUAGAUUCCAUAGUCAUUCUCAUCAGUGAUAUCCCUGAAGCUAAGGAAAGUGGGUUGCUUCAUUUGUGUGAGUUCAUUGAAGAUUGUGAAUUUACAUAUCUUUCGACACAGGUGACUAUCUAUCAAUUUAGUGAUUUUAUUUAUUUGUGUUUUCCUUCCGUCCCCUUUAAAAUCUAUCCUAAUUCACUUGUUGUUAGAUACUCCAUUUUCUUGGGAUUGAAGGGCCAAAGACCUCGGAUCCCAGCAAAUACAUACGCUACAUCUACAAUCGCGUACAUCUUGAGAAUGCAACCGUUCGGGCUGCUGCCGUGAGCACGUUAGCCAAGUUUGGUGCUUUGGUUGACACAUUGAAGGUAUUACUGGCAUAUUUGUGUGCUUGUGUUGUUUGCUCCAACUAUUCUAGGUGAAUUGUCAGUUGCUGACUGUUGAUUAAUAUUCUUGUGCUCUCUAUGCCAGCCUCGCAUUUUUGUUCUGCUGAGACGUUGUCUUUUUGACAGUGAUGAUGAGGUAGGUUCCCAUAUAAUAAUGGAAUUGCUGAACGUUCUCUUCUAUUGGUACAUUUACAUUUUUUUGUUUCUAUCUGUAUGUAUGUUCAUUAUCAAUAUUAUUUUUAAUAAAAGAUUUGUUUAAUGUUGAAAUAUUCAAUUUAUUUCUCCGUUACUCCUUUAUAAUAGUUUGAAAAUGUUAUUGUUGUUAGGUUUGAUUUAUGCAGUUAUCUCUCUGACUUGUUUUACAGGUUCGCGAUAGGGCAACACUUUAUCUUAAUACUCUUGGUGGCGACGGUGAAGUAGUUGAAACUGAUAAAGAUGUACAAGCUUUUCUUUUUGGUCCACUAGAUAUCCCACUAUUUAACUUGGAGACAAGUUUGAAAAAUUAUGUAAGUUUUUUCUCUGUCCUGUACGUUUUGUAUAGCUAAAUGACAAUUUUCAUGUUUAUUAAUGCGUUAUUGUUAAAAUGAGAGAUUUAUGUCUAUUAACCUUUGAAUUAGGGAUUAUGCAUUAGGGUCGAGAAAUUUAUGGAUAACAUAUAGUGUGAUAAGCUCCAAUAUCAAUACAACUUAUUGGUGCAUAUUUUUAAAUGUUUAUUGAUUGUCGUCAUCUGAUAUAUAUUAUUGUUCUUACAGGAGCCAUCAGAAGAGCCUUUUGAUAUUCAUUCUGUGCCAAAGGAAGUUAAGUCUCAGCCACUUGCAGAGAAGAAAGCCCCAGGCAAGAAGCCAACUGGUCUCGGUUCUCCUCCAGCUGGUCCCCCAUCUACUGUUGAUGCCUAUGAAAAGCUUAUUUCCUCCAUCCCAGAGUUCUCGAACUUUGGGAAGCUCUUCAAGGUUUACAUUUUAAACUCUUUAACUCGUUGGCUGAAUUUAUUUUGCAUUAAUGAAUCUUUAGACUUACUAUGUGCUGUUUCCUUAUUGUUCCUUCAACAGUCAUCGGCACCUGUGGAACUUACAGAAGCAGAGACAGAAUAUGCUGUUAAUGCUGUUAAGCAUAUUUUUGAUGGGCAUGUUGUCUUCCAGUACAAUUGCACCAAUACAAUACCAGAGCAAUUACUGGAAAAUGUAUGAAAGCAACUUAAUAUUUUUCCAAGUGUGUAUGCUUAGGGCUGUCUUUAUAAUGUGUUUGUCCAUUUUUUCAGGUUAUGGUUAUUGUAGAUGCUUCAGAAGCAGAGGAAUUUUCAGAGGUAGCAUCCAAGCCUUUAAGAUCUCUCCCUUACGAUUCACCUGGACAAACUUUUGUGGCUUUUGAGAAGCCAGAGGGAGUCCCUGCAGUCGGGAAGUUUUCAAAUAUGUUGAGAUUCAUUGUUAAAGAGGUAUGCUUGCCUUCUUCCUGCAGUGAUAUAUAUGCUUUUUCUUUCUGAGCCUGUGUUUUUGUUGGUCUUGUAUUAGAAAAUAAAUUAGGAAAAAUUGUUAGGGUUUGCUGUGGUUUUAUGGCAUGCAUAUACUUGCACAGGCAACUUUUAAAGUGACUUGUACCUGUGCUCUUAUGAUUAUGCAUCUAAGAUUAACCAAAUGAAAACAUUUUGAAUUGUUACUGUAUCCACAUCAGUUGUAUUAUGAAUUUUCAUUUCUUUGACUGGGUGCAUUUGUCUAGGUUGAUCCAACUACUGGUGAAGCAGAUGAAGAUGGUGUGGAGGAUGAAUACCAACUUGAGGAACUGGAGGUCGUUGCAGCAGAUUACAUGAUGAAAGUUGGGGUAUCCAAUUUCAGGAAUGCAUGGGAAAGCAUGGGCCCUGAUUGUGAACGAGUGGAUGAAUAUGGCCUUGGCCCUAGAGAGAGCUUGUCUGAAGCUGUUAGUGCUGUCAUCAACCUUCUUGGCAUGCAGCCUUGUGAGGUUAGUUGGUGAAAUUAUUCAAUUGCAUAGUCAUCCUUUAAUUACUGUGAAGGCAAUUGAGGACAGAGUUUUUAGCCUAACAACCUCUUUGUUUUCUCAAUGCAUAUCAAGAAAAUGAACUGAUAUAAUACAAAUGAGAUCUGUUAUGCGAUCUCUCAAAAUAUUCUGUCAUUCUCUGUUGUAUAAUUUAAUUGGUCUUUUUUCCUCUUCGAGUUGUGCUUCAUAUUUGGACAACUAAACUAAGCAUAAUGCAAGCAUCCUGUAGGGAUGCUUUUAUGCAAUAUCUCAAACAGUUUUUUUGUCCUCAAAUUUUGUCUAUUUCUUCUGGGUUUUCUUGUCCAGGGCACAGAGGUUGUCGCAAGCAAUUCACGGUCGCAUACCUGCCUACUAUCUGGUGUUUUCAUUGGCAAUGUGAGGGUUCUCGUGCGAUUGCAAUUUGGAAUUGAUGGUGCAAGGGAUGUUGCGAUGAAACUGGCUGUCAGAUCUGAAGAUGAAUCUGUCAGUGAUGCCAUUCACGAGAUUGUAGCAAGCGGCUAAUGUGUCAAUCUAAUAACUGUUGCUUUCUUAUACUAGCGCCAAAUUUUUGAUGAGAUGACAUGCAGGAGUGUGUUGACAAUAGCCGAAAAUGCUUGUUAUAGAAAAGAGUCGUAUGCUAUGCCCUUUGGAGUGGGAGCUUGGCUUGCUGGGGAAAAUGAUUUGCAUUCAUCUCAGAGCUUCUCUCUCAUCUUUUAAUACGGCAAUGAUAUACUCUUUGUAUCAUGCAAAUCAGUUCUAAAGGAGGAUUUUAUUUUAUUUUACAUUUUUACCUUUUAAAUUUUUUUGUGGAAUUAGUUAUAGGUUCCAUCAAAGCUUGUUUGACAAUACUUGCGAGAUUUAAUCGGAUAAGAAUUUGGGAAGCAUCUUCCCCUUCUUUUUAUUUUUUUAUUUUUAAUUUUUACAUCCAAGCAUUGUGAAUUGGAGUAUUUGUUAAUUACACCAUUCAUUCGAGAUUCAAACACUCGUGUUAAUUGCAUUGUGGAAAGAUAGUUUAUAUUUUUAUGUCCAGAUAUUUUCAUUGAAGUUUUCAAAUUUUAACAGGUGUCUGUGUGCUCGAUGGCUGUGUGAAGGCAUAUAGAUAAACUUCUUAAACUUUAAAACAAAAAACUAACACUUCAAUUUCUAAAAUUUUUUAUUUAACAUUUUAAUUUGUAAAAUUUAAUUAAAAAAACGUACAAAUAAUUGUUUCAAAAGUAGCACCCAGAAACACAAAAAAAAACACUUAGCUGUUAAUAUGGAAAAGUUUGAAAGGUUACCAUGUAAUACAUCCUUUACAAAGUUUAGAAGUGUCAGAAAAUUUUUUUUUUUUUUUUUUUUGAAAUAUAAAAGUGAAUUUAUACAGUUAACCGCACACAUAACCAAAUCAUUAUAUUCUGUUUUAGAAUACGCUUUUCUAGUUGCUUCGUUACCAAUGCAUAGUAUUAUAUACAAUGUACCACACUCACAUAGGAGUUGAAUCGAUAGAUUCUUAAAAUUUCAUUUCAUUAAAUAUUUUAUUUAUUACUAUUUAAUCUUCAAGAUUUGAUAAAUGAGUCAAACAUCAUUGACCUAGUAGUUGUUGUACUUCCGCCUAACGAAAAAUCAUACUAAAAUUUUUUCACAAUUGUGACAAAAGUCUCAGUCAGAACUUCAAUCGGUUUCCCUGGUUUUGCUUUACUGAAGAUUUAAAUAUUAAAUAAAUAGAAGUCGGAACUUCAAUUACAAAGAGUAAGAGCACAAGUGAGGAAUAAUAGGCCAUGAAAGAAACAAAUGGCUACUCCCAUCAGUCAAGGUCUUCGUCUAACAUUUUCCCUCUUCUUCCCUCAAACUCAGUUUUUCACAUUAAGGAUUACUAGAAGCAAUGGUACAAGACUAUGGUUUCUUUGCAUUAACACAAUGGAAUCAACCAAGAAGGCACAAUGCAAUUAUGGGGUAGCAGGGACUCACAAACCUUGGAUGAUAGAGGACCACACGGUAACUUUUUUCUUUUUUUUCCAUUCUCAAAUCACCUUCCUAUGGCCUCCGAACGCCCAAAUCUGAAAGAGAGCGCAAAUAAAUAUAUAGUCAAUUCUUUACAUAUAUUUGAUGCCUGGCAAAUAAUUUAGAAGAUAGAAAACUAUACCCUAUAGUAGCUAUAAAGCAGAUAACACUGUCACUAAUGUAGCUUGUUGAUAACGACCAUCAUAUGGACAUGAGUAGUUCCGCAACUUCCAUAUAGUUCGAUACAAAUUGACAACCAGCAUUGAAUACAACUCACAUAUGGUUGUUUAUAAAAGAUCCCAUUGAGACUUAAAACUAAUAAUCAGAUGUCAAUAUUAUAAUGACAGCAUGAAGAUAAGAUUUUAUUUGGGUUAGGUUGAUAAAGUCUAUUCCCCUUCCUAGAAGGGAUGAUCUUGACACACAAUAUAUGUUACAAUAUUUUGAAUAGCCCACCUGCUUCCAGGACAUAUGCCUUUAUCCAUAUGCAUAUAGAAUCAUAGAGCUGAAGUAAUUAGAUUGGUCAACCAUCAUGUAGUAAGGAAUAGUGAGCAAAAUGUAAUACUUGUUUUUGGAAACCAUUGGAAAGGCCAAAACAACAGAACAAUCUAUGUUUCUACAUCUAAAUGAGAGACGCAAGUCUAAUGCAACAGGUGUCAGAAUAAAGAAUUAACUGAUAUCUAAAGGGGCCAUGCCAUAAAAUUGGGCUCUAGACAUGCGGGAAAAGGCUAGAAUUCUACAUCUAAAUCAUUGAGCUAGUAAAGUUAAUGAAUUACACUCAUCAGACUUGCCAACAGGGAAUUCUACAUCUAUAUAUUGCCAUUUCUCAACAGGAAAUCUCAACACAAAGGAUGGGGGCAAUUCUACAGUUUUUUCUUUUGGGUGGGAGAAUGGGUGUGUGGAGUAUUGGAAGCAAUAUUAAUAUCAAGAGCAAGAACGCAAUUCUAUCAUGCAAAUCACAUGGCAUCAUAAAACAAUAUAGAGACUCUGUAUGCAGACUAACCUUUAGGUUUGUAUCAUAACUUCCUGUACACAAGGCACUCCCAUCUGCUGACAAGCCCAAACAGCUUAUCCGACCCUCAUGCGAAUUCUGCAGAGAUCCCAAGUUUAAAACAACCUGCAAAAAAAUAAAAGUCACAAUUCAAGUUGAUCUAUGCAAUGUUUUGUCAUGACUAGCUAAGUUUAGCCACUACUCGUGCAAACAUGUAUAUACAUCAAUUGAAAAAAGAAGAAAACUUGACACGUAAGGUUCACCACUAGGUAAUGACUCUAAACAAAAAAGCAGGUCUCGGCACUUUAAUGGAAGUUCUUUCUCCAUGAAGAAGAAAGGCUAAACUGAGUAAGGUUGGGUACUUCCACAAUUAGGACAUAUUCAACCGGCAAUCAAGGUGAGGCAUGAGGAGCAUCUAUAUGUUCUUGGUUUUUAAAUCAAUUACAGGAAAGACCAGCACCUGAAUUCAAGAACUAACACGGCAAAAGGUAACUAAACUGGAACUAGAAAAGGGAACAACAUAAAAUCUAUAUGGGAAGGACACAUACUAAAAGAAACAAAUUUUGUUUUAGAUCUGCAGGGAUUUCAUGUGAAAGUGAUGAAAGAACAAAAGAGUUCCUACAGAUGUUAAAGUACAAUGUUAAACAACUAAAAACUUAAAGCAGCACAGCUGUGUAAAAGGCUUACAAAAUUCUACGCAAGAUUAACGUCUAGAUAUGUGGGAAAUAACUCAAGCAACAAAGAAAACACGACAUAACAUGGUGAAAAAAAUCAUGCAUGUAUUUACCUGCGCUAAUAAAGUAUCCCAAACAUAGCAAUCACCAUUUGAAUAUCCAGCAAAGAGAAGUCUUCCUGAUAUGGAGAAUGCAAUAGAGGUCACAUGAGGGACUUCAUUGUCACCAUGCUGUUGAUAGUAUACUUGGAGUUGAUGCCCAGUUCUGAUGUCAAACAAUCUACAAGUUCCAUCGUCAGAUCCAGUUCCAAAUCUAUUGCCAUCUGGAAAGAACUUCACAGCAUUAACAUCUCCCUCAUGCCCAUGAAAAGUACGCACAGCUCGACUAGCAACGCGAGUAUCCCACAAUCGGGCGGUUGAGUCACAGGAGCCAGAUACGAACAUUCUUGAGCUUGACCCAUUGAUUGAGAUGCUGAAAUGUGGAAUGUUUAAUAUUAUUAAACUAGCCCUGAAGAGAGAACCCUAUCAGGAUAAACAAUUCCCCCUCUACAUUUUUAAUAAAUCCCGAAAUCACUUUUCAUUUUGUAGUCAAGGUUAUUACAGGGUCAUCCAAUCAUUAGUCCGUGUGGCGCUUGCAGAAUCCAUCACAUGCUUGUGAAGAGGUAACAUCAAUAAGAUGCCACAUUCUUGACAAGGAAAAAAAGUUACAGGGGCAUGGAUGCAAGCUUCCUAAAAAAAUAUUUAAAAUUAGCCCUUUGGAAUAUUAGUUUGUACACAGUCAAACUAAGAUGUCAAAUUUUGGAACUUGCAAAUGAGAAUUUUCUCGUAAAAUUAUAUCCUUCAAGUACAGGAUGACAAAAUGAAAAAGCAUGCAGUCAAAUUGAGAAUAACUCAAAUAUACCUCAGUACAUCUGCUGUGUGUCCAGACUGAAACUCUCCUCCAAACACAGAAGUCCUAAGGCCCGUGGUAAUAUCCCACAAAACACAAGUCUGAUCACCCGAACUUGUAAUUAGGUGAGUGUCCUCAUCUGGUACAUACUGACACGAGGAAACAUAACCCUUGUGCCCACUAAGCAUCUUUGAUACAGGCAGGUUCCCAUCCCUAUCAGUUGGUGAAUUAAGGUUGAAAAUAGAGCAAACACUAUCAAGACCACCACAAGCAACAGACUGACCAGUUGGAGAGAAAGCACAAGUCAUAACCCAUGCACAGGGCAACUUGAUGGCAUGAGUUUUCUGGCUUGUUAGAGCAUUCCACACUAUCAACCGCCCAUCUUGAGAUGCACUAACAAUUCGAUUUCUUUCAGAAGUCCAAUCCAAUGAAUACACCUGCAAAUAUCUUAUAGAUAAGAACACAUUUUCAAAAUAGUGAAUGAUAUAAAAUGCACAAUGUCUCAAAUACUAAGUGAGUUUAUCUCUCUUGGCACUUUGGAGUUUGUCAUUAACAUGUCAAAACCUCCUAUUAUAGGUCACAGGGUAUCAAAAAAUUAACUUAGAGAGAUGAUGUCCACAAUUUCUUUAAUGCCAGAAAUUUUAAUACAGUAGGUACUCCAAACAACGACACCAGACAUAUAUAACACAGGAUUAAGAAUACAGCUGGGCUACAUAUGGAUGAUAACUGGUUUAGUGAGCACAUGCCUAUGAGCACACGAGCAUUUUGGCCACUGAAUCAGCAAAUUUCAUAUAAUUCAGCAGGAGACAAUUCCAUGUACAUGUGAGGUCUUGGGCACAAAAUCAUUCUAUGUGUAAGCUUUAGUUGAGUCUCACUAAUUUGAGAGUAGUUUUAGUCUGUGAGUUCACAUGUGUGCAUGAGUGUGCCAGUGAAAAACAGAGUACAGAGGGGAAAGAAACACAAAAACACUAGAUAUCUAUAAUGAUAAGUAUAAAAUAUAUAAGUAACAAUAUUCCCACCACAUAAUAGAACAAGUAACAUAGAAGGAUUCAGUUUUCAAUCACAACAAGAAAAAACCUUUUGACAAUUCCUGUCACCAUUUAAGCCGUUAUAGACAAUCCUGUUAUAGUUCCCAUUUGUUUGGAUUUCAUGGAAUAUAUAAUAUCAAGUAUCUGACAAACUGAAUUUCCUCAGGCAACAAUUGAGUGUGAGAAGAAACUAAAAACGUUGAAUAAGAAAAUAGAGAGAGGAGUAGGAGGAGGUGAUUUCAAUAACACAACAUAAAAGUGCAGUUCAUAAGUUUCAGAACUUCUCUGAUUGUCCAGAUGCAAACUACCAAGUGGGUUGAGACCUUAUUCUUAAAGUCUGUUAAAUAAAACUAAGAGUCUAAGAAGUACUCUAUCGCUGUUAAGGAUUGUUAAUAAUCAUGAUAAUAAAAGGUGCAAAUUCAAACAUUAUCAUCAAUUCAAGGAAGUUUAAGUAAAAAAUAACCUAUCCUAUGUCUACUGUUUUAGAUAUAGAAAAAAUUAACAAGAUAAAGCUCUAGUGACCAAAUGCAGAUAGCCUGAAGUCACAGUGUUGCUCUACAUAUAUCCUAUACAUUAUUAUAGUAUUUGAUGCUGAUGUUGAAAAGUGUCCCCUAAUUAUAAUAAGAACCCCACGAUGGGACCCUAACUUGUUCUCUUAUCGUUAUUCUUAGUCUAGAAUGCUGUGAUAUGCAAACUUAUAGGGUUAUAAUCCAACUUGUUCCAUAGCAUGAUUACUAAAGGACAUCUCUUUCUACCUUCCAUCAAAAUCCAGAAUGCAGGCACACAUGCACCUCUUUUCAUUAUGAAAUAGCCAUCAUGGCGUACUGUGUCGUGUGAUCCAAAAGCUUGCUCCAGAAACAUUACCAAAGAUACCACAAUGGCACGCAUAUCAGUCUCCAGCUGCCAGUCAGAAUGUGGAACCACUUUUGGUUUCUCGAUUCCCUCUGUCUACCUUUGUCCUACCAUCUUCAAAUGCAUAACAAACCACCAGCACAUCCUCAUGAAGCACGAGUUCAAUCAACAUUGUGUCAAAAAACCCACAAAAACCAGAUCAACUUAUCAAUUUCCACAAUAAGAUGAGAUUCGGUCAUCUGUAUCCAUUUCCCCAGUUCCAUUUCAAGUAGAAUUAGAAGUUAAACAACCAUUAUUUCCUCUCAAAAUAUCCUAAAUGAUUCCACGAUUCCUAUUUCAUUAUAUCAUAUAAAAUAGUAACAACAAAAAUAAAACACAAGGACAAUCACGAACAAACUUCUGUUAUUUUCCCCAGAAAAGCACUCUAGACCUAAUUUCCCCAUUUUCUCCACUCAGUUCUCACUUCUAUUAAAGCUUACAACUCAUAAUUCCUAUCAAUCAACAAGUCAAAGGAACAAUGAACACAACAAUAUCAACUAUUACGCCAUUAAACAUGAGCUAAACACCAUUAAAUAGCCAAAACAAAAUAAAUCAAACAGAAAGUAAGCAAUUAUGAAUUUGAACAAAUGCAAACAAUUGUAUGAUAGCAUUAAUGAUUUACCUUGCCAGUGUGUCCCUGAAGCGUCCUGCAGCACACCAGAUCGGUAGGCCCAAAGCUAACCGGAGGCUUCCCCUGCGCCCUCGCGUAUCCAGCAACUGCCACAAGUUCAAUCAGAUCUAUUUUUACACAAUAAAAGAAAAAAGGAACACAAAUAUCGAAUUCGAAAAACACGAAAAAGAGAACAGAGAAGAGAAAACACCGUCAGUGUCUAGCAAAAGAAGCCGCUUCUGCUUCAAGCGUUCUCUAAGAGUAUUCACCGUCUCAGUCGCCGCCACGUGGCGCGCCUUUAGCUCGGCAACAGACAUUUCUUAUAAAGGAAACCCAAAAGAAAAAAAAAAAAAAUUGAACUAAAAAGUACUCAUUUCUUUUUAAGCUCGGAUUCGAUUCUGAGCUCUAGUGAUCAUUAUUUGAAAGUGAAGUAGCGAAAGCAGAAAGAGAGAAAGAAAAUUUAGGUGUAACAGAUACGGACUCAAUUAUUAGAGAGAGAAAAGGUAAACAAAUAAAUGCCUUUUAGAUUGCAGAGAGAGAUAAAAGGAGAAGGAAGCGGUGGCAGAGAUGGUGGAGAUGGUGCUGCUGCUGGUGGUGCUGCUGCUGGUGAUAAAGAGGUCUAAGAUCAGAAGUAACAGAGGUGAUGGUAAGGGCGAAACUGAAUUGACUGACGCCGCCGGCCCAGUUUUUCCCACGUGUCAUCUAUGUUUGAUGUCUUUUGCUCGGCACGGUUUGAUGUGAGACCACAGUAAAUUGUUUUCGAAAAUAACUAAAUAUCUACUACUUCUUUGCCGACCACGUAUGGUGAUUAAUUUUCUCGCUAAUGUGAAUGAAAUGUCUCGCUAUCCACAUAUAUAGAGUUCUAACUUAUUCCUAUUUUCAAAAAUGUAUUUAUGUUUCUUAAUAUAUUUUUAGAUUAAUAUUUGAUAUUAUUUUUAUCAAUAAGACUUGGUUUAGAUGUUAAGUCAACUCAAUAUGUUAAUAUGUUAAGUCAACUCAAUUCCCAUGAAAAUACAAAUUUAAUUUCCCAAAAGCGCAUCCUAUUUAAAGAGUUCAAAAUAUUACAGUUCGAAAAGAUUAGCCGUCUUAGUUAUAUAAAAAUAAUAUUAAAUAUCAUCUUUAAUAAAUAAUUCAAAGGAAAAUUACUAAUAAUAAAAUAUAUUAACAAAAAGCAUAUUGAAAAACUAACUUAACUUUUGACUUAUAAUUUAGAACAAAUAUAAAAAAAAACAAGCUAAUAUUUAUUAGAAAGAGCAAGUAUUUUUAUUUGGUUGUUUAUGUGAAUUUAAUAAUAAUAGUAAUAAUAAUAAGUAUAAAAUUAAAAUUAAAAUAAAUAUUGAUUUAUUGAUUUUUAUAUUUAUAAAAAUAGGUAUUAUCACAGACAAAGUCAAGUGGACUAAAUUUUAUUAAGAUCGAGUUCAGCUUGUUGAGAAUUUUCAACGAAUUUUUUUUAAGUCAAGUUUGGAGCAACUAACUUAUGAGAUUUAUGUGUUUUGUUAAUAUUAACAUUGAUAUCAUAUAUCUUGUGCCCAUUUCAUAUGUGUAAGUUUAUUAUUCUUUUAAAAAGUAAAAAUAAAUUUCGAGCAACUGAAACAUUAAUUUACAAAAUGGACGGCUUAGACCUGGUUUUAUUUUUUCAAUACCAAUAAAACACUUAUAUUAUUUAAAUAGUUAAUAUCAAAUUAAUAUUAUAUAUAUAUAUAUAUCCAAUAUUAUUAGAAACUAUUAUUGUUACUUUGAAAAGUUGUGCAAUCAUAUUAAAAUUUUAAAAGUUUAAGUACAUGAUUAGUUAUUUAUCAAAUUUAAAAUGUCAUAAGAUUAAAGUUGCAGAGUUAAUGAUAAGUCAUGUAUUGAUAUUAUAUUAAUAAAAUGAUUAAGUUUAACUCACUUUUUAAAAUUUAAUAUAUUUCACUGGAUACUUUAUACAUCAUUUAUGCCCAAUUAUGAAUAUAUAACUUUCACGUCUAGACAUAAAUAUUUGGCAAGUGGCCGAUAUUAAAAUAGGAUAAACUUUAAUAUCAUAUUAAAUUCAAUUGAUAAUUUAAUUUUAUAAUUAGUUAAAUUUACUGUUACCAUCUUCGUUAUAUAUCAUUUGUUCUUCUUAUAUUUUUUUCAACGUGAAAUUAAUCCACGCGCUUUUACAUGUACAGUUAAAUUAUCGAAUUAGAGUUAAAUUAAAAAAUAAUAACAAAUUAAGGUAUAAUAUAUCUUUUUUUUUUGAAGUCAUUUAAUAUUUUUAAUGUAAAAAUCAAUAAAUUCACAAGAAAGGUAAGCAAGAUGGUUCCAAUACAUCCUUGCUAAGAAAAGCUGUAAUUUAUUUAAUUAAACUCAAAACGGCAAUCUUUGAAAAGAUAAUUAUAAUGUUUAUUAAUGUUUUAAACAAGGGCUCAUGAUUUGGGGAAAAAAAAAAAAACCAAGGGCUCAUGAUCUUGUCUAUUUUAAUGUUGUUUAAAACUUGAAAAGUUGCAAUGAGAGAAUUUAAUAAUUCAAGAAGAACAAAUAUAUGUAUAAAACGUAAUUUGUAAGGUUGGAGGAGAUUGCUUAUGACAAUGCACCAAAAUAAAAAAUUUCCGUUGCCGGGAAUCCAACCCGGGUCUCCUGGGUGAAAGCCAGAUAUCCUAACCGCUGGACGACAACGGAGAGUUGUUGAUUGCGUCAUAUAAUCAAAAUUAGUAUCUUAUUUAAUAAAUAUGAUUAUAAACGAUUUAAUAAUAUAAAUUUAUAUUUUUAUAUGUAAAUUUACAACUUAAAAUAUUUAAUACAUCAGAUUAAAAUUAAAGUGUUAUGAUUUUAUUCUCGAUUCAUGAAAAAUUAACUUAAAAUGCAUUACGAGCUAUGUAAUAAACUAUAACUAAUUUUUAUGAUUGUGUGUUGUUAAAGUAGCAAACUUCAUAUAAAUUUGAAGUAUUAACUCACAAAUGAAGUGAAUAUUUUACAUUUUGUUUUUUUAACUUAUAAGAAAGGAAUAGUUUACAAAUUUUAGAUCCAAGUUGCUGUUCUUGUACUUUACUUUUUACAUAUUUUUAUGAAAAAUAAAAUAUAAUGGCCUCAAGGAUCCAACUUAUUUGAAUGAUUAUUGGACGAACUCUGUAGAAUGAAUCCUACUUGAUGAAUUCUGAAGAGCAUCAUAAUAAAAUGCUAUUAAAUUAGUGUUUUUAGUUGUUAAAUAUCAGUCUUGAAAUAUAAAAAAAAUUCUGAAAGUACUUCAAAAAAAAGAAAAAAGAAUCAAAACAGAAUAUGAAUUGAAGUGUGUUUUGACAUUUGAGGAAAGAGAAAUUUGAGCAAGAACAUCUUCUUGGCACAACCAUGUGGCCUCAUAACACUGUCAGAUAAAUAACAAAAAGGAGAAAACAACAACUUGCAAAUAGAAAUUUGCAGUUCUGGCUAUCACAAAAAGAAACGACAACGUAUUGCUUCACUGACAAGAGAUAUACAUAAUUAAAAAUUUUGAAAACAUGUGACUUGCUUAAAGCACUCUAGGUAUUCCUCUCUAACAUAAUUACACUUUUUAAGCAACCCUAACAGAAUUAAAUAACAUGCUAAGGAGACAGAGAUCUAAAACAAUGCUUCCAAAUCAAAGGAAGAAUUUACAAUGACAGUUAUAAAUAAUAAUUAUUACAACAACCAUUAAGCUACACAUACUUUAUUUAACCAUCCACCCCUUCUUUAUUCAACUGAAGAAUGAGCUUCUCUUGAUUUUCAGGUGCUUCCACCAGGAUAGACACAGCCAUUAUAACCUAGCAGCAGUUGAAGGUAAACUUUUUUUAUUUUAUUUUUUUUAAGGAAUGAACAGGAAAUGCUAAUAUAUAUGAAACAAAGAGGUAAUAGUCAAUUUACAAUAGCAAUUCUGUUUAAGCCUGUUAUUCCAACUAAAGACAGCCAUAAACCAUAAAACUAUCAGAACUUUUGUUUCUUGGUGGAGACAGAAACCCCAUAAAGAUGCAACAAAAGUCAAAAGCUCAUAAUCUUUUACAUUUUAAUCAUGCACCAAUGGUGAAGCUAAUCCAAUAAAGAAGACAACACCUUUUAUAUUAAAUUCUAUUCCUAUCACCUCUUUCUUAAAGUUAUGCUCAUUAUUAAAGAGUUGGCUACUAAUUAUUCCCAAAAUCAUUCGUGUAUAACCUGAAAUAAAUGAUUCCAUAUUUAUAGUAGCUUUGAGAUAUGGCUACUGUUUCAUAAUUUAUAAAAAAUAGAGUUAAAAAAGAAGAGCUGAAUAAAGAUAGCUUACUGGGAUUUUUUGAUGUAAGUGUUGCAGUCUGCGAGAAAUCACAAUUCCAUGGAUUCUUGCUAGAAGCUUGGUAAUAGAGAUUCAUGGCAUAAGCAGCGUGCGAUACUAAAUUAUUUGGUUCAAAACAUGCACCUCCAGGUUGAAUUGGGCCGCAAUCUAUGCCUUGACCACAAGCAUAGUCAAGACUUGCCUGCAAUUGAGCGUCAGAAACACCAGAUUUUGGCAUACACCAACCUGUUGCUGUUGGUUUUGCUGAUGGGGUUGCUGGAGUUGUGGGGGUUGAUGGCACCUAAAGAUGAAACCAGAAAUGGUAUUUUAUAAACCACUACAAUUAACAAUAGACUAAAUGCAUGCAAACAACGCUUAUUUAUUCCUAUAUAUCUGAUCGAUCUAAGAGCUUGACGCAUACAACGUCCCACAAUAUAUACAUUGUGAAAAGAUCAGUCAUAAAAAUUCUUCCCCCAAAAGUUUUAACACACAAUAAAUAUUAUUCACAAAGUCAUAAAAAUUUUCCCACAGAAUUUAACCCCUUUAAUUUCCAAAGGAUGACUAUGAACAGAACAUACCAUUUUAAGAAACCUAACAAGCUAUAAUUCAACAGCAACUGCUACUACUACUAGCUUCAAUAGAAAGUUUACCGAGCUGUGUUCAUGCUUUGCAAACAUGAAUAUAUUCUCUUACCUGGCUACUCUUUGUAAGACCAACAUCAUAUGUCAUAGAAAGAUCAGUUUUGAAAAGGCCAAAUGCUCUUUCAGAGGAAGGUCCGGGCUUCAAAUCUUCAUCAUAGAGUGCAAAGAGGUAUGUAUCUACAGAUUUUCCGGGCAUUAAUGGGGUACCAACCAAUGUUCUAAGGUGAUUAAUCAAAUUGCCAUUAUAAGCUCUUGCAUUUUCAAUACUAGGCCCUACUUCAUUGCUGUCACCACUAUAAGGCCAACCAGUCUCAGCAACCAAAAUCUCAAUAUCCUUGAAUCCGAUUGCAUUUAAUGCAGACCGAACAGCAUCCACCUACAAAUGAUUUUUCAAGUCAUUACUACAAGUGAUCAAUCAAUCGAAAGUUCCUAAGGAUAAAAAUUGGUUUAAUGAGAGACAAAAUCUAAGUUUAGUUAGCACUUAGCACUAGACUAUUUUAAAACAUUUACUCUUAGAACAUGUACAGAUCACCUUAAACAUAAAAUUUAGAAACCUUUUAUCAACAUUUUUGACAUAAUACUUUUCUCAGUAACAAUAAUUACAAUGCAAUAUUGCAUACAUGCUAACAUUUGUGCUUACUGUUUGAUGAUCAUCAUUUGCACAUCCAAUGGCUAACUCAUAGAUAACUAGUACAUAUAAACACAUUUGCACUGGAAUCAUUGCCAAUGCUGAUUCUAGCAAUAAAAAAGAUGGUCCCAUAUGGGGUCCCUUCAACAUUGGAAUCAAAAUUAGCCUAGCUUUUUUAAUUUUUAUACUAUUAUCCAUGCUUUCACUUCAAUAAUGAUACAAACAUUGGAAGUACUUUAAAAAAUUACAGCAAUGGCCAGCUUGUCAUGAGGCACAAGAAGUCACAUCAAUGUGUAAUUCAGUGCUUUGUGAGUCCGUGUCGUUUCAAUAAAAAAAAGAAAAAAAGCAAGAGAUGCGUAAAUAAUUAGGAGGAGGAAUUAGUUUCAAAUGCUUUUCACGAGCUUAAAGCUGAUGCGUGCACUCUACAUUCUUAAGAGUGAUCAAGCAUAAAUGUAUAAUUGACAUAAAAGAAAAAGAGCUAAAGUGGACAAUCGCAUCAAAAUUGCUUAGCUAAGAGUAUAUCGUUCUAGCAAAUUCAAAAUGUAAAUAAGUAACAUGGUAAAGAUGAAAAACAAAAUCACCAUUUCCAAAAUUAGUUUCAUCUUGUAAAUUUCAUUAUCUAAAAGAAAAUCAAUUCUGAAUAUUUAUCACAUAAUAAAAUUUAGAGGUAUGAUGUCAAUUAGUUCGAGUCCUCUUGAUCACAAGAAUUUUCACUAAUUUGGUGAUAUAUUAUAUAUGGAUUAAUCUAAUAAAACAGAUAAUUUUUGAAAAUUUCAUUAUUUAACUGUUGAAACUCACUAAGAGUCGUGAGGACUUACUUAGUACCCGCCCCAUACAACAAAGUAACAAUAACCACUAAAUUUUAUUCCCAUACUCCAAACUAAUUAAAUUAAUAGUUUUUGAUUCAAAUGAAAGUAUUUGUUACCGUUCGAAAAAAAGAAAAAUAAACCAUGACGGUUAUAGUUGGUAGCUAUUUAUAGAUAUGGUGAUAGAAAAGUGUUAUCUUUAACAACAGCUCAUUAAUUAUCUUUUACCUUGUCUUGAUGGCAUUAACAUUGUUGGGUUUGUGUAUGAAUAGAAGUAUACAUAUUCUACGUAAGAAAGGGAAACUUUACCUAACAGUAACAUGGAAAUUAUUUCUAACAAAAAAAUUAAAAAAAAGAAAGUGAUGGAAAACUGUAAAUGCCCCUUUUUAAAAGACUAAUAAAAGACUGCAGAGUUAUUAUUAUAAAGUAAACGCAAGCGUAGAAUUCCACCAUAAAAAGUCCUAGUCCUUCGUCAGUCGUCUCGUAUCCAAAUCAAAGUUAACGUCUCUUAUAAGCUUUCUGUCCUUGUGCACUUAAACUAUACGACUCGUGUCUAUACCUUAUAGACCUCACAAUUAAACAUUCCAUUUGGAUCCGGGCCCAACCCGGCCCAUUAAACCUACUACCGGUUUUUCUAAAGCAGUUAAUCUAAUUAAUAGUACUAAUUAUUGUCUUGAUGAUCUUACUUACCUGAGCGUCAAACAUGUUCAUGUACAUAAUCCCAUUGCCCGAGUCCACUCGUCCCGCGUUGGGUUGGAACAGGCAAAAAGCUAAGGUCUCUGGUCUUGGGUCGCUCUGGUAAGCGAAAAACGGGUACGGGUUGAUGGCCAGCGGGGACCCAUUAUCUCUCUGGAAUUGGAGUAACCCUUUCAUUGUAUCUUGAUAAGACGGAUUGAACAUUCCGGAAGAUGGCGGGUCGGACUGUGAUAAACUCGCCAUGGAAUGGACGGUGGAGACCUUAAUUUUGCCGCCGAGUGAGAUCGAGUUAAGCGCGUUGUGCAUAUUUUGCAUUGCUGGUAAUAGCUGAGAGAUCAGGUUCUGAUCUCCAGAUAACAAUACCUGAAAAGCCAAACAAAUCAAUUAAUCUUACUUAAUUCAGUUCAAUUUUAAUGGAAAAUUGGAAUUAAUAAAAGUGGUUAAAUAUGAUUUUGGAGGUGAUUAUGACCUCGUUUCCAAUGGUGAUAAGAAUGAUGUUACUAGCAGGAUAGUACGGCAAGACGUUGGCGUUAACCCACUGAGUCGCCGAGUUGGGAUCGGAAGCCAAAGCAGGAAUAUCACCAUUUGCAGCGCCAAUGACGAUGCCAAUUCCAGUAUUAGCAAGAGCUUUAAGAAAGGCAGGAUCGGCACCGUAAAGUCUCACUUUUUGUAUUGAAGUUGAUUGUAGAAGCUUGGCAGUGGCCGUAGGUGGCGGUAGGUUAUCAGCAAGUAGACCAUAGUUAAUGCCAAUAAACGACUCCGAGCCUGCAAAAAAUGGAAAUGACGUCGUUCUUUUAUCAAAAGAAAAUUUAGAAGCAUGUCUAUACUAUUGUUCCUUAUAAACUGUAAUACGCGAAAUUAGCGGCACGAACAUAAACCUUUAAAGAGGAAAUAAGAGGAAAAUGAAAAGAGAAAAUAGGAACUUACGAACUAAGAAGUUGAAAGAUAGAAUAAGAAGAAGAUAGAGAAAGAUGAGUACUGAAAACGCCAUUGUUUCUGUUUCUGUUUUUGAAAGAAAGGGAUCUGUUUCUUAUUUUUAGUGGUUUUGAAAUAAAUGGAGACGGAGAUGGAGAUGGAGAUGGAGACGGUGAUGGCGAGUGGGGAUGGGAGUCUAUCUAUUGGAGUGGAGUGCGUAGUAGUGGAUUGGAAGACUAUAACGGUAAUAAAAAGUAUACUUCAAUUAAUCAAACGUCGGGUACCUGGAAGCUGCGGAGCAAUGGGACCCUCAGUUAUCCAGAUUCCAGGCUCAUGUUCACACCUCCUAAGUUGUAGAACUAUGCAGCAGAUGGUCAUAUUUGUAGUAUAUAUAGUAUUGAACUGAUGUUAAAUUUAAUUUUGAUAGCAAUUGUUGCAAAAUUCAGAGUAUAAUUAUAUUUAUAUAUUAUUUUUUAUUUUAACGUGUUAUAAAAAUAAAAAUACUAAUUAAUUUUUUAAAAAAUAAUAGUAUUUAAUAUAAAUGUAUUAUUUUUAAAUAAAUUAUAAAAAUGAUAAUUCAAUUAGUAAAAUUAAAAUAUAAUAUAUAUGCAAAUUAGCUACUAGCUAAUAUAAAAAAAUUUAAAAUAUAAUCGACGGAUGGUUCUAUAAGUUGUUUAUUAAAAUGUUUAACAAAUACUUACAAUCUAAUUAUUGAAUAUGAAUCAACUAUACGAAUUAGUUGAACUAGAAACACUUAACUUAUUAUGUUAUUUUAUUCAAUUCACAGAAUGUUAAGCUCUGUCCGACUUUAAUUAAUUUUGAUCUAGCUAUGUCCAAAAGAGAUUAUUGUUAUAUUAAUUAAACAAAACUUACAAAAUAAAUAAUAGUCACGUAUUUUGAAAUGAGAUUAGUCUUAUGAAUAUUUUAAAAAUCUUAUAUAUAAAAAAAUAAAAAAAAUCGUAAAUCCGAAAUGAGAGCCACCUCAUAUAAAAAACGUAUGGAAAUAUUAGUGAGAAAUUUAAAAAAUAUAUAAAUUGAAUUCGAUCUUUCUUUCUGUAUACUUUUGGAAUAUAAAUAAAUGAUGGAAAUACUAUUAUUAUCAUUCACUAGAAGAUAUUACCCUUGUCUUAGUCUUGACUUGUUUGAUCACGAAAGUUCCAGUCAAUGUGCGUUUGAUGUAAUUGAAGGGGGAAUUUUCAUACAUAAAUAAAUAGUGAUGCUAUGACAAUUUUUUAUUGUACUACGCCUAUUUCAUUACAAUAUAUCAUAAAUAUGAUUACAAAGUAUGUUCAUCGGUUCAUUUUGAAUCAAAACCGAACUAUACUAUAGAUAAAUUAGAAUCGGAUUGAAACUGUUGGUUCAAAAUUUUGAAUCGGAACCGACAGUUCAAGAGCCGGUUAAGAUUCAUGUAAAUGUUAAAAUCUGAACUUAAACCAGCUUUGAAUCAGCGGUUUCGGUCCGGUUCGAACCAAAAAUUUCUAUUUUUAUUUUCAAAAUAAUAAUCACUUAGCAUAUUUUAUACAUUUCUAAAAGUCUCAAUGAUAUUUUACAAUAUGAUAUACUUUACUUAAGAUUUUUUUUUUUAAAUACACUUUACUUUAAAAGUUAAAAAUAUAAAAAAUAAAAUAGUAAAAAAAGAGAGAAAUAUUUAAUAUACACUUAUAUUGUUUUUAACUUUUAUUUUACCCUUUUAGAUUGUUUACUAAGUUUAAAAUUACAUUCUUUUGAAGUAUUUUUCAAAAUUUUCUCAUAAUUUAUUUAAUUAAUAACAUUUAAACAAAACAAAAUGAUAAUUUAUUUGAUUAUUUUGUAAAAUUAAUUAAUUUUAUUCUUCUACGAGUAUGAGCAUUCUACAAUUUAUUUAAAAUAAAAUCUACCAAUAUUUUUUAAACUCAUAUUAAUAUUCCGAAAGAAAGAUAUAACGUUAAAAUCGAUUUUUUUAAAAAAAUAUAUAUAUAUCACUGAAAACCAUGAUCGGAACCGUCGGUUUAUUGAAAUCACACCAGAACUGGCAGUUCAAAAAUCUGUUCAGAUUCAAUAUUUUAAAAAUGUUAGACCGUCAGUUCUGAUUCACGGAUGAACAGGAACCGACGGUUCAAUGAACCCGCCGUGCCUACAACAAUCCACGUAUGCGUUAUCAUUUUAGACGCGACUUACAGAUCAAGUACAACAUAAUUGACCUCUCUGCUUCACUUAAAAUAAGAAAAGUUAAAUUAUUAUAUUUGGGUUCUUCACUUAUACAUUAUUAUAAUAAGAAAUGUCGUUAAUUAAAAGUAUAAGACUAAACUGAUUAUAUAAUUCCAAUACAUUGAUCCAAUUGGGCUUCAACCUGAAAAUAAUUAUAAUUAGGAAAGGAAAGAGUUGAAAGAAACGAGUUACAAGAAAAGGAAAAGAGGGGAACUUUCUGCCUAAGCGAAAAGGGUUUCGUCAUAUUAAAUUACAAUUACAUUGCUGGCGCAGAAGUUACAUGGAAUAAAGGUCGUUUGCUUUGGACGAUCUCAACCAACCACCAAUCGGGUGUGGAAAGUAGAAUUUUAGGUUUCACCACUUACUAAAGGUGACGUUCCCAGUGGACCCAACUGCCUAUUUUCUUCAUAACCAUGAGCGUUUAACACACGCAAGUCUUGGCUCGCAACCAAACCAUUACCAACCAAACCAAGACUUCAAUAUGUACAUAUGCACAGAAACUAGAAAAUAUAAAGGGUGAAUAAAAAGGAAUGCAGCAGUUGAUAAUUCAUUUAAUCUUUGCAAAUGAACAAACAUCAAAUCCAAAAGUUACAUUAGAAUCCAUUUAGGUUUAUAAAGUACUUGGGCAUUAAUGACGUGUUAGUUCAAGUCGUCUCGCGGAUCUUCUUUCUCUCUCUUCUUUUUACCCAAAUCAUUCCAUAUUUCCAUUAUUAAUUCGUCCUUACACGUGAUGUUCAUAGCCUCGCAAGAGAGAAGCUCCGUCAACAAUCGUCAGUAUACUUGUGCACGGUGUACAUGUUAUCAGACCAUAGAGUCAACGUAAAUGACCAAUAAUUAGAUAGUAGGAUGUAUGAUAAAAGCUUAUUCCAACUCCAACUGUGUGUGUUUUUUCUGGACAUCAAUUUAUGGCAUAUAAGCACAGACACAAGUUAUGCCCCCUCUACAGAAAUAUUUUUGCCACUCAACUAGACAAGGCAUAAGGCUCACCUAUGAUCCACAGAAACUUCUAGCCAUAGGCAUCUCCGCAUAUCCAUUUUCCUGUAUAAAUACUGCGUUUUUUCCUGUAAAAUUAUAUUUCGAAUGUCAUUUCCCCGUAUCAUUUCCGUGCUUCCAUGUCCAUGCAACCUAGAGGCUCACAUCACAUGAUAAUGGCAGCGUUACCAUUUAUUAAAGAAGUACACAUCAAAACCACAUCACUUUAACUUGAUAUCAACUCCCAAAUUUAUAGGAUGAUGACAGGUUCAGCUCUAGAAAAAAGAAAAUAUUGCUUCCACCAAAAGGUCGGUCACAUAAAAAACAAAUAAAUAAGAAGCUUUCACAAGCAAAAAUAAUACAAAACUUCGUUCUCAUUACAACACAAUCGCAUUUGGAAACCCUCACAACAAUACAGGCCAUCUAGGAACAAACACCAUGAAAAAACAAUCCAGAAAGUUUCCAACAGUUGGUUAUACACAAGGAAUAACGUGAGCAUAACCGACAGCAUGAAUAUCAUGAUCAGAUAUUGACAGAAAAUUGAAUCAAGGGAAAAAGAAAUGAAGUCACCCUCAGCCAUCCUAGGAAAGUAAAAUGGAAAUCGAAACCUGAUUUGGCAAUAAGAUUAUUAACCGCCAGAGUGAGAGACUGGAGUAGUUUCAAAGUGGCCAUCCUUGAAUAAAUGGAUAUACUGUUGUGGCAAUGCAUGUUCCACCUACAAAACAAAGACAUCAAUUAAUUUAGUCCCUAUUUGGUGUAAGUGAAAACCAUAAUAUUUUCAUAGAAAAUCAUUUGGGGUUUCAGUUUUCAUGUUUGGUGUUGUAUGAGAAUGUUCAUUUUACUCGUAUGAAUUUAAUUUUACAGAAUUCAAUGUAAUUAAACCAAAUUCCAUCAUUUAUAAAUCUCAUACCAAAUUCAUUUAUACAAACAAGGGGUUGGUUGAUUGCAAAAACUCCACCAUACAUUUUCAUCAUGGCAAUGUCUCGUGUUGUGGUAUAUAGAAGUUGCAAGCAUGGAGAUCACCAGUGCCAUAGAUAUGUAUUAUGAAGCACUUGGAAAAUGUCACCCCAUGUACCCUACACAAGCCAACAGUUGAUAGGGCUCUGAAGCCAAGGGCUUCAUUCAGUUACUGCCCAAAGAAUGCACGUAGGCAUCCUUCAGUCAUCGGAACUUUUCCUUGUACACUGUCUAUUACAGCAAUAUUCAGGACAGGUUAAACCAUAGGUUUAUUUCACUGAACUGUUAGAAAAAGAAAAUCUGAACAAAUGCCUGCCAGUAGAAAUCUGUGUGAUGUUUUUUUGCCUACUUCUAAAAAGUAGAGUUGAUUACCUAUAAGCCUGCCCACACACCCCACCCUCUACCCAGAAACCAUAACUAAGCAGACAAAGGAGGAAAAUAUAAUAAAUAAAGCUUUGAGAGUUGAACAGAGUAAAGAGUUUGUAACUUACCCAAUCACCAUCAGGCUGUGCACCUGGUACCAGAACGUUGACCUCACUUGACUUGGCUGUAGUUAUAGAUCCUCCCAAAGAGUCUUUGCUUAAAUAUAACUGGCAGCCCCCCGUGUUAUCUAUAGAAAUAGUUGGGGCUGAACCCUAGAAUGAAGCGCAAAUGGUAGAUCCACAUUAGGGCAACGUAGCACUCCAUAAACUAAGAACUAUACCUAUCUAUUUAAGAAUGAUCAAUAGCACUGCCCAAAUAUAAUUUGAUAUUCUAGCAUCUGGACAGAAGAUAUCCUACAAAUUAUUAAGGAUUCUAUAUAGAAAAUAAAAUAAUAAAGAAAUACCUGGCAUUGAACCUCAACACUACUGCAGUUUACAAUCUCAAAAGCAGCAACAACAUCCUGUUUAUAAGUUGAGAAUGUAGAAUGAGCCAUCAUCAAACUUUAAUAUAUGGUUCCACCAUAGGGAGUAAAAGUAAUUUUCAGUCAUUUUAUUUUUCAAUUUGAGAUCUUUCACACUAACCGUAAAUAGAACUCCCAUCUUAGUGCAUUUGUCAACUGUUAUGUUGUUGACUUUCCCUGCGAAUUACCAGAAUAACAAAUACAUUGCUGAAUUGUAACAUAAUGUAUGUAGAUGCACAGCACAAUUUCAUGAAUUCUUAGAAUGGUUAAGGUCAAAAAGUAUGGUAAUAAUGCAAAUAAAAGGUACCUUUAAUCUGCAAAACAGAAUCUUUGCAUCCAAAAACAUAUACUGACUGUUUCGCAUCACAAUUAUCAAUUACUAAGUUCUUCUUUCCAACCUGAUUCUCAACAGCCCACCUGCAAGAAGGAGGAGAUAAUACAUGAAUCAAAUCCUAUGCCAAUAUUUCUUCUCAAACUGAAAUCAAACCCGAACAUAAACAUGAUGCAUACUCACUUACGACCCAUUUGAAGCUCAAGCUUUGGAGGUCCUGCCUUAGAGAAAGAAGGUGAACUGACACGGGCUGCUUUUUCACUGGCACCAACAACACCAGUUCUAUCUGCACGAUUCUUUGUCUUCAUAUCAGCUGUGACCUUCCUAAGGCCUACAAAGAAUUUUUUUUUUUUUUAAAAAAAAAAAAAAAAAAAAAUCGAGACAGCCAACUAAAACUCCAGCUGAAAGACACAGGUUUUAUUUAAUCUGAAAAGAUAAGUACCAGAAGUCACAGACUUGCUCGAGUUGAUUUCUUGGAAAACAGCAGCCAUCCCUUCUCUUGGUUUUGAUGAUGAAGGCUGAGAAGAUUCAGAGCUGAAGAGAGAAGCUGGUGGGGGAGGUGGAGCAGCAGGAGCACCUGGUGGAGAAGCUUUGGAUGGACCAGAAGUUGGUGCUUUGGCAGCAACACCCCAUGUUGGGCCCAAGGGAUAAUGACUCUUUACAUAAUCCCUUAAACCUGGAAGAUAAAGCUCCUUCAUGGCUUUGGCCCACUCAACAUGAUUUGGGUCUUUGCUUUUAUACUCUACAAGAAUCUGAAUUUUGCAGUGGUGUGUUAGAAACAAGUUAAGGUUAAUUACACAGCUCCUAUGUUUUUUUAAUUCAGCAAUGUCGGUAUAGCACAACCAAUACAAGUAUCAAACACCAAAAAAAGAACUAAUCAAUGAUGGCUUAAUAAUGCUCUAAUUCUUCAAGUUUCCUCUCCUAGCGUUUUAACAUUCUUUCCCUCUCAUGAAUAAGUGAGCAUCAGGAUUUUGAAAGAAGUCAUUUAUGAAUGGGAACAAAAAACAUUGCAAACUUAAGAUUUACUUUUUAUUUGUAUCCAUCCUUUACUAAGGAUCCAGUCAGGCAAAUUUUCUUUCUGUGCCUAAACAACAAACGAUUAGAUCUAAGUGGCAGUUCCCUAAAGUGCGCGGGUGUAUACCAAGUAAAUAUAUAUAAAGUACCUUAUUGUUGUAAAAUUCAGCCAUUUGCCAACUUUCUUCAACAUGUGCAAUUGGCAUGUUCAUACCUUAAAUACGAAGGAAAAAUCUAAAUCAAAGACCAUAAAAAAAUAAUUAUAUGCUAUGAGAAAUAAACUACAAAAUUCACUUACCACAAUCUUUUCCUGUAUACGCAAUCCACGCUAAAGCUGUCAGACUAUCAGCAGCAGAUUUCAAGUGGUUAAAGAAAUCAGAUCGCCUCCCCUCUGUCAUUGCAUUUGCUUUCAUGAUCACUUCAUUCAAAGGUUUGAGAAAUUCAGCCAAUCCCGCCAGGCCAGGUUUCUACACCAAUGAGAUUAAACCAUUCAAUCACCACAAAUCAAAGGAAAUAAUGUUGCAAAGGGAAUCAAAACUAAAGUAGGCACUACAACCAGUGCUAGUCAAUACUAUCAGAAUGCCAAGCUUUUAAUUUCAUCUUAGAGCUAUCACUCAGUAAUUACAUCAUCAAUUCCCACUAGCAAACAAUGAUACCAAGUGCAAGAUGAUGCGACAAUUCAACCAUUGUAUGUUCAAAGAUCUUAUCAAUCCAAGAAUGAAAUGGAUUUGGCUAUUUUAUAAUUCCAUAAAUCAUAAAUCACAAGCAACUGCUGCUAUCUUUUAAACAAUUUCCCCUCGUUAUGCUGACUUACUUUAUUCAUUUUCCGCCCAUUUAUACAGAAAUCAAAUGGCAUCAGAUCAGAUUCAUACAUAAAAGAUCUAGAAAAUAAGGCCAUCUAUAAGAAUGAUCUGAAUCAAAUUCAUCUAAUUCCUCCUUAUUCCUUUAUGCACUGAGGUGGUGGCCCUAAUUGCCCAAAACUAUACAACGUAGAAUCAAUCUAAGAAGAACCAGUAUUCAAUUUCAAUCACUAUUGAAGCAGAUUAAGAAAUGAUUUAUAUCGUAAUUCAGAUACCUACUUCACCUAAUUUCACAAAACCUUACUGCAGAGUGAUAAACAUUAGUGUUCCUUCAGAGCAAAACAAAUGCUACACUUAAAAACCAAUCUCCAACAAAAAUCUAAAUUCCGAAAUUAAGGGGAGAAAAAAUAAAAGGCAAAACACUACCUGAGUUUGCUUGGCCUUAACGAGAAGCUCCUUUUGAACACUAAAAGCCUGUUGGAUAAUCUUUGUAACCUCCCAAACCUGUCCUCCAAUCUUCUCCGCAGCACUAGAAACCCUACCUAAAUACUGCCCUAUAAGAUCGUCGAAAGCCAAAAUUGACGGAUCCGACGCAACAUCAAAAGCACCAAAGUCCAAACCGCCACGUUCUCUGAUCCCCGACGUCGAUAGCGCCUCCAAUCGGGCCACCGCCGAUUCCAGCCUCGCAAUCAACUUCUCCUCCAUUGCCCAACCCUCCCUCCUUCCCUCGCUCAAUAUCCUUCUCUUUCUCUAUCUACAAUGUAUAUAUAUAAACGGAAAAUCUGUGACAGAUAGAGUAGAUCUGAUUGAAGCGUGUGUGGUUGCUUACUUGCUUUGCUUGAGGAUUUAAUGAGAGAAUGUUUUUUUUUUUUUUUUUUUUUUUUUUCUGUUUUUGUUCUCUGUAGGACGCCGAAAGUGAGAGAGAGAGAGAGAGAUUUGAUUUGCCUUUGGAUAGUGAUGUAAUUUUGGAGUUUUUAGCGGGUUAAGAGUUAAGCGAGGGAAUCCGAGAUGACACGUGUUGGCUAUGGAGGAAAUCUUGGCUGUUCUCUCGAUAUGGAAACACAAACACCUGUAGCUUUUCAUUCAUCAAUAUAGAUUAUUUAUUAAUUACUCCUAUUAAAUAUUAAUUGGCCUUCGUUUUAUAGGGCCAGGAAUCGGAAAAUUGGGGUACUUACUGAGCAUGGGCCACUUCCAAGUUCCGAGCCACGGUCAAUCGAAAGAUAUGUCUACGUACACUUAUAGAGAGCUCUCUGUUUUUUAUUUUUUUUAUUUUCUAAAAGAAUAAUUUUUUUAGAAAUGAAAAAAUAAAAAAUGUGCAAAUGUGUUCGUUUUAAUAAAAAAAAUUUAUAUUUUUAAUUCAAAAUUUAAGCAACUUUUAUAAUCAAAACAAUAAAAUAUAAUUAAAAAUUUUAGAAAAUUUUUGAAUGGAUACAUAUUUUAAAUAAUUAUUUAUUUUAGAUAUAAAUAAGAUAUGAGUUUGACAUAUUAAAAAUAAUUAUUUAAAUAUAAAAUUAAAACUCUGAUAAUAUCAUUAAUUACGUUAUACAUAUUCUAUAAAAAUAAUUAAUUUUAUUACAAUAUAAAUUAUUAAUUUAUUAAAUAUAGUAAUGUUAAAGGAGUUUGAUGGGCAUUUAGUUCAACACAACCAUUUUGUAGACAUUUGGCAAGGAUUUUAAUCUGCAACUGAUAGCAAAUAAAAGUAUUAAAGAGUUGUCGAUCCAUCAGCUCUGUUUUAAUACUUUUACGAAAAUUUUAGCGGUUGUAAUUUUUAUAUGAAGUUAUGAUGAUCUAUGAGUCCUGAAUAAAAACCCUUAUUUUCUUAAAAAA
RNAcentral lists this long non-coding RNA (65072 nucleotides) under Jatropha curcas. RNAcentral's name for it is "long non-coding RNA (JCUR_LNC000133)". The record is from RNAcentral. Lineage: Eukaryota; Viridiplantae; Streptophyta; Magnoliopsida; Malpighiales; Euphorbiaceae.